UACAAAAAUGUUUAGAUCACUACUUUAAUAACCUAAACGCUCUUACAUUUCUUUACGGGGGAGUACUUUCAUAUAUUUUUGAUAAUUGCAUAUAAAUCGUGUCUAGAUCAGAUGGUUCUUAAACAUUGUAAAGCCCCAAAACCCAUCUAGGGUGCCUCCCCAGCCAUCAUCUUCCUCCGCCGGUAGAUUGUUGGCCUCCUUGGCUCCAGUAAAAAAACAGCCAUUUGUUGGUGUGGAGCAGACAGCGUGGUUGUACGUCUUCGUCCUCCGGCUCCAAUAGAUCGAUAAAGAUUUGCCGUUCUCCUCCCGACUCCUCNNNNNNNNNNNNNNNNNNNNNNNNNNNNNNNNNNNNNNNNNNNNNNNNNNNNNNNNNNNNNNNNNNNNNNNNNNNNNNNNNNNNNNNNNNNNNNNNNNNNNNNNNNNNNNNNNNNNNNNNNNNNNNNNNNNNNNNNNNNNNNNNNNNNNNNNNNNNNNNNNNNNNNNNNNNNNNNNNNNNNNNNNNNNNNNNNNNNNNNNNNNNNNNNNNNNNNNNNNNNNNNNNNNNNNNNNNNNNNNNNNNNNNNNNNNNCGCGCCGACCGGGCCGGCGGGGGAUCUCUUCUCCCACGACUCGCUGGAUCUGGAGUGGGCAGAUCGCGGCGGUGGUUGGCGGCGCGGGCUUGGGGGCGACGGCAGUUUUUUCUGGUGUGCGUGGGAGUCCGCUCAGGGCGCGCGGCGGCGGCCCUCGGCAAGCGAUGGCGGGCGCUGGGCUCUCGGCGGCGCUCCGGCGUGUGCAGGCGGCGGUGGUCCCUGUGCGCGGUCGGCGGCUCCAUCUCUGACCCAGACGGCGCGGGGGAUGGCGGCAGCCCGACGUGGCCGGCGAUCUGGAUGCGGUGGUGCCGGCGGCCCGCUGAUCUGCCAGUGCUCCAGGGUUUCGCCUGGUGGUGCUGGUGGUGACGGCGGCCCGUGCACGAGAGUUGGAUCCCUUCGAACUAAUCUGGGUGAAAACUUGCCUUCGGCGUUUGCUAAGGCCGUUAGUGGCGGCGAUAUAUGCGUCGUUCCCUUCUUGAAGGCAUCGCCGUGGAGUUUGCCGAGGGCCGCCGCCGCUGAGACGGAGGCAUCCAAAACCUAAACAGCAAGACCUGAAGUUUGUUCCGCUGAGACGGAAACAAAACUUUGGCCCUCAAGUAUUUGGAUGUAUUUUGCAGUUUCUGUAAGGAUGUUUUUUUAGGGGCAUGUGCUAGCCUUUUCGCCAAAAAAAGAUAAGAUGAUUAUUAGAGGUGACUUAGAAAUAGAAAUAGUUGUUUCUCAGGCGACUAAGAAAUAACAAAGUUGUUAUGGGAAACAAUCGUCCUUCCAUUCUACUGUUGGCCGACUCUCUCCCAAUCGUCAUUACUUCCUUUCUCUUUUUCGACAACUUUGUCAUGUCGUGUGUACAUCAAUUUCGUUCGAGAACUUAAUAAAAAAAAUCGUUCGAAACAGAGAUGGUCGUCUCGAGUAAGGGUGCCGACGCUUCAAUCAAGAAGCAUGAUGCGCCGUUGUUACCCGCACCUCUAGGAGUGGCUCCCAUGGUAACGGUGUGGGAAGUUUCUUCAUAGAUUUAAGUGUGUAGUUUCUUCUUCCACCUUCCGAUGCUGUCGCCAAUCGACGCCUGGCGCCGGCCUAACUGCCUAUUGUCGCCACCCAGCGGUCGACUGCUAUGCCGCGCAUGCCUCGCCACCCCUCAACGUGUUGCUGACGCCCCGGCCAGACCUCUAAACCCCGGCACAAUCUCCGUCGUUGGCGACUUCGAAGCAAACCCCGGCACCUGAACCCAUCAACCUCCGACUCUCCUCCACCAGCAACGCCGCUGCCAUGUCUGCCCUAACUCCGGAUCGCUCCUGGCUCGGCCUUGCCGCGGCACUUCCGUCUCUGCCUUGUGCUUCGCCCAAAAGCGAUCAUCCCUAAUCGGAAUUUCAGGCAAGAUGAAUAGCAAAUGCACACAAAACUGCAUGCAGUGUCACUGCAAGAUAAGUUGGCCAGUAUUUUCGAUCAGGAAUACCUUUCCUGGUAAUGUGGAUGGGGAAAUAGACUCCACAUAUGAACAACAAACACCAGAGAAGCAAGUUUAAGAGUAUGUGGCACAAAUAACGAUGUAAAGUAGCUGAGCUUUAUUCAGUUUUCAGAAGAUAUGAAUCCACAAACUAUCUUUAGCCUGCGAUUCUAUCGCAGUUGCCCAUGUUAGUACACCACGCAGGAGUCGAUUUUACCAGUGUGCUCGGUAACACGCCGCAUGCAGAUCAUCACCAUAAACCCAACUUGGAACUGACAUGCAUGCCGCGUGUUGCCGGCCCGGUCCCUAGCUGCUCGUCACACGACACGGAUCGUUAGUGCUCCCAGAGCAGCAACGGCGCCGGCUCGAACCGGAAGUCCUCGGCCCCGACGUCGUGCCAUGAGUACGCAUCAUACGUGGAGGGAGGCAACGCGAAGCCGAACUCGUGCAGGAACUCCGGCAGGUCGAAGAGCGCGAGGUCAAGAAUGUGGUCGUCCGGCACCGCAUGCGCUGCCGCUGCAGGUGCCGGCGCUGGCUCCUCGACCUUGGUGUAUGUGUCCUCGACGGCGUCCGCGUCUGGUGCGCGGUCCAUUUGCGCGGCGAGCGCGGCCGCGGCUCGCACGUCCUCGGGCGCGGCGGUGGCGGGGAGGGGCAGCUGGUGCGCGGUCUCCGGGAAGUUGAGGUGCGCGGCGGCGCGGCCCUUGAUGGAGAGCGCGGCGACGUCGUGGGCGCGCGCGGCCAUCUCGGCGGUGUCGAAGGUGCCGAGCCAGAUGCGCGACUUCUUGCGGGGCUCGCGGAUCUCCGACACCCACUUCCCCCAGGCCCGCAUGCGCACGCCGCGGUAUGUCGGGUGCUUCAGGUCCCGCCGCGGCCGCUUCCUGCUGCCCGCGGCAGCAACGACGCCGCCGCCGCCGCCGCUCGAGUCGUCAGAAGACGACGUCGUGAGGGGGGAGCUGGGGCCGGAGCCGAGGCUGCUGCAAGUGGUGGAGGAACUGGACGCCGGCGACAGCGCACCCUUCUCCUCCAUGGGUACGUACGUGGUGGUGGUGGUGGUUCUGAGGAGAACUUGACACAGUGGUCACGGCUCGCAAUCUCAAACAGUCAGACUGUUUGGUGUAUGCCUGUCACUUGCUACGCCUCAGGGCUUAAGAGUGAGCGAGAUAUAUACUGGUAUUGUAGUGUCAGGUGCGCAACGGAUUAGUAUUAAUUUAGCGAGAGGGUCAAAGCAGGGACUGUGAGUGGAACGUGUAUACAGUACUUGUUUUUGCGUUCCCGAGGAGGCGAGGAAAUGUGAUUGUUAUGCAGAAUAUGUCUAUAUAUUAGUAGUAAAAAAGGCUAGUUAAGCAAGAUGACGCGGCUUUGUGGGAGGGCCAUGUGUUACUCACUGCGGCUGUGAGAAUCGAUAUGAUCACGGCUAACUUGCUAAGACAGAUACGGUAAGGUGAACUCAACUGCGUUGCAGUUGCAGGAUCGGUGAUGAAAGCACGUAGUACUGUACAGGGACUGAGAUCAAUUGACUAGCUUCCAAACAACAGCAGAGAACAAAACUGAUGGGCCUCACCAAGCUUGAGCCUGGUUCUUGGAUUUAUGCAUGCUGGCCACAAAACUUGACAUGGUCAAGUAUGGCUUCGCCUUGAUCUUUAGAAGUUCUAGUGUGACAGACAACAACGUGUGCCCCGCUUUGCAAUUGGGAGUUUGGACACAAGGGUUUUGUCAAAUCUUCCAACAAUUUUGCAAACUUUUUGUAUGUUUUCGACCUCUCUUUCAUCACCAGAGUCUCACCAGGUCUUUCUUCCACGUUAUGCAAUAUGUAGCCCAAAUUUCUCUCAUCUUGCACGACCACAUCCCUCGAUUUAGAAUUGGCUUCAUUUUCUCCGCAGACAAUGCCAUUGCCCCUUGGCCCCCACAUAAGUCCCAGUCCAUCGAUUUGGAAUCGGAUCCCGAGAGUUUAGCAAUUGCUACGCCUCAUGCGGCUCUGAUGGAUGACCACCAUCACCGAGAACAACACCUCGUCCACCUUGUCGGCGACGAGUCAUGUGAAACCUUAUGUUACCGCAUGCUGGCGUUNNNNNNNNNNNNNNNNNNNNNNNNNNNNNNNNNNNNNNNNNNNNNNNNNNNNNNNNNNNNNNNNNNNNNNNNNNNNNNNNNNNNNNNNNNNNNNNNNNNNNNNNNNNNNNNNNNNNNNNNNNNNNNNNNNNNNNNNNNNNNNNNNNNNNNNNNNNNNNNNNNNNNNNNNNNNNNNNNNNNNNNNNNNNNNNNNNNNNNNNNNNNNNNNNNNNNNNNNNNNNNNNNNNNNNNNNNNNNNNNNNNNNNGCACGCCGGUGUUGCAGCGGUCCUCGGCGAAGAAACUAAAGAAAAGGCAUACCCAACCCGUUAUCCCUCCUACCUUCGGCCCGGCAACGGUCAAAACUAGGGCGUCUUCCCAGUCUUACGUUGGACCAGAAAUGGUGUUCAGUUAAAGAAAGUCAUUCAUUGCCUUGUAUACGGUUUUUGUUCGACUAAAUGCAAGGUGGUCGUGGAAAAAUGUUGGCAGAUGUGCAAUGUUUGUGAUUUAGAGAUGAUUAACUGAUUUGGGGAGAUCGAUGGUCAACGACGAAUUAUUUCUUGAGAGUAUGAUGGGUGAUACCUGCUGCAGGACAAAUGAUUUUGAUCUCGAAGGCGCAUCAUUGUCGCAUUUUUGAUCAAUUGGAUGUGAGAUACAGAAUUUGAUCAAUUCCGACCCUCCGGCUUAUCGAGGAAGAAACAAAUUAGGGAAGCAAACUUACCGUAUGUUGCACUUGUCAUGGUAUGGCAAGAUAUCUCUCUCGAUGCGGUCACCAGAAAAAUUAGUCAAGUGCAAAGUACUGGAAGUGCAUCGAGGAGCAUUAGAAACAUCAUCUAGGGCAUAGAACAAAGCGCACCAUCAAAUCUCUCACAAACCGACAGGGUACGAUUCAAGAGAUGUGCAACCAUUGGGAGGGUUGUUUGGAGCAAGUGAAGCUCGCUCCUCCUGGCGUUGUCACCAUUGACCAAUGUGUAAGGAAUCUUGUUGUUGUUUUUAUUGCCACAUUUGCAUACUUUGAGCAUUCUCAUCAAUUUGAGCAUUUCUUUGUUUUAGGAUAACAUAGCCCAAGAGGGGUACCCAAAAAUGGUCAAGCCGAAGAAUCAUUUAGCCUCCACGUUGUUGGAGGGCCACGAGAAGUGGAAAUCAGGGAAUGAUGACGACACUCCAAAAACUGAAAAGUGCAGCAACUCCUCUCCGGAGAUGGAGUACGGUGAAGAUGAUGGUGGUGAUGGAGAGGAAAGGGAAAGAGUGCCUAAAAGUCCUGCUCAGGCGUCUAUCACGGGUUGGCCCGACAUGAGUAAGAGAGGAAAAGAAAAGCUCAAGAGGGAAGGAGAGGUGGGGGCCAUGAAAAAAAGAUCAAUGGGUUGAUGAGGACAAGAAACGGGUACUCCAAGAAGAGGAAGCCAGAAAAGAUAAAGAUGGAGGAGGAGGAGGAGAUCCAAGACAAGAGGGCGAGUUGGGAUGGUAUGCAAGAGAGCAGGCGGCGUUAGAAAAAGAUGGAGGCGCGUAGGCUCAAAACAGGAGCGUCGGGCGACAACUGAAUGAAAAGCCGAGGAAAAUCGGUUCACAUCAUGAUGGAUCCAGUGGCGCGAGAAUUUUGGAGGAAGGCGUGAACGGUGAUCAUACAUUUUAGGGAUCUCACAGAAGGGAUGGAUGCACACGCCGGAGGAGAAGGGGACGGUGCACAGGUUGGAAACAUGUGAUUUGUACAUGUCAUCGGUUUAAAUGAUUUGUCCAUGCAACUUGUCAAAAACUAUGUGCAUGUUCACUUGAUGUGCUGAGCGUUUAAAUUUGGAGGCAACCAAAGUGUUGAGUGAGGAAAAUGAAAAAAAAAAUAGAGGUUGAGAUAUGGCGACUCUAAGUUUGCGUGUCGCCAGACCAACCUUCAAAUGUAUAUGGCGAUUUUAAAUCAGAUGUAUAUAGACAUGUUUUAUUGUGUUUGUUUACUCAUUUAAGUAUGUACCUAGUCUAUACUGAAAUACCUAAAAUGUCUUAAUAGUGAACGAAGGGAGUGGUAUCUAAAGCAGAUAUCUCGUGAGAAAUUCCACUCUUCAUUUUCUUAUACAGAGUGUGUGUGUAACUGAUAUGUGAGUUUGUGUUUCAAAUAUAAUUCAUACUUCCUUCGUCCUAAAGUUAGUAUAAAGUUGUGACACUUAUUUUGGGACAGAGGGAGUAGUUUGUAUGACUGGCUCUGCCGUUUCAUAGCUUAUCUUAUAAAUUCGGACACUGUGUCUUUUGCUCUAAAAAGAUAUCCUUUGUGCAAGCAAAUGGGUUGCAACUUGCAACCAAUGAAGUAACAAAAACCUCUCUGUUCAACUACGGCCUGCUAAAUUGGGUUCGUUGCCGGAUUAAAAUUGCGCGUGGAACUUCCAUCAGAGAUCCCGAAGAUUUGGAUCUUGCUUGCAACAAACAGGUGGGGUUGCAAUAAUGCGAUGUUAGCAAGGAGUUCAGUUAAAUAUAUCUAUCACCCUCUGCAGUGGCUCCAUUCAAUAUGGCUGUGAAAGACAAUUCAGAAGUAGUAGUCUCUAGAAAUGAGGGGGGAAAUCGGUUUAGUUCAGUGAGAACAACAUGCAUGGGAAGACUAAAACCCUAAAAUAAACAGUGCAACCAAAGGAAGGUGGCGAGAUGCAUCAACAGAAAACAGUGCAGUAGGAUCCGCUUGCUGACCAAAUCGGCAUAGUACUCCCUCUGUUUUUAUUUACUCUGCAUAUUAGAGUUGACUAAAAUUAAACUUCGUAAAGUUUGAUCAAGUUUAUAAAAAACAAUAUAGACAUUUAUCAUAAUAAAUCUAUACGAUGUGAAAGUACAUUCAAUAAUAAAUCUAAUGUUGUUAAUUUUUUAUUGUAUAUCUAAAUAUUUUUGUUUGUAAACUUGGUCAAAGUUUGUAAAGCUUGACUUUGACCAAAACUAAUAUGCAAACUAAAUAAAAACGGAGGGAGUAUUUCCAGAUACGAUACUCGGAGCGCUUCUCGAAUGCUCCUCGCGUAGACCUACAUGUAUGUAGGUCACGGAUCGAUCGGCGAGCUAGCUAGAGAAGACCGAAAGAAAAAAAAUACUAGGGACUGCGUGGGGCGCGCGUCCAUAAAAUAGCGCCCACCAUCGUCUCAUCUCGGCGUUGUUUAGUCCCACCAGACCAAAGCAAAAGAUGGCAUCAUUAGGGCAUAAGCAAGCGCAAAAGCUUCCGGUGAUGCGAGCUGGCGCAGUAGCCACAUGCACGCCGAUCGAGCCCUGAUCAGCAUCUGCACUGAAGAAGAUACCGCCUCAUGUGAUCUGCGCGAGUAAACUAAGACCGCCGCGAGUAGAGUAAUGGAUACUGGCAGAUCGGAAGGAGCGGAAAGCGCUUCGAUCGGAAUAUUCGCGUACCAGUACCAGUAGCUAUAGGCUCUCAUAGCUAGCUUAGGCUGGUCAUAGUGGGAGUAACAUAGGUAGUAACAUAGAUGCCACAUAAGCAAAAUUGGUGAUGUGGCAAGUAGUUAAUGAGGAGAGAGGCAAAUAGAGUAACAUAAUAUGUUACCAUCACAUAGCGGUUUCCAAUGCAUAAUGAGUCUACAAAGUAAUAAAUGAAGGCAACUAUGUUAUCACACCUAUGACACUACCCACUAUGAAGGUAGUAAUAUAGACUAGUAACAUAUGUAUGUUACUAGUCUAAGUUACUCUCCACUAUGACCAGCCGCCACAUAAGCAAAAAUGAUGAUGUGGCAAGUAGUUAAUGAGGAGAGAGGCAAAUAGAGUANNNNNNNNNNNNNNNNNNNNNNNNNNNNNNNNNNNNNNNNNNNNNNNNNNNNNNNNNNNNNNNNNNNNNNNNNNNNNNNNNNNNNNNNNNNNNNNNNNNNNNNNNNNNNNNNNNNNNNNNNNAAUUAGGCUGGUCAUAGUGGGAGUAACAUAGGUAGUAACAUAGAUGCCACAUAAGCAAAAAUGAUGAUGUGGCAAGUAGUUAAUGAGGAGAGAGGCAAAUAGAGUAACAUAAUAUGUUACCAUCACAUAGCGGUUUCCAAUGCAUAAUGAGUCUACAAAGUAAUAAAUGAAGGCAACUAUGUUACCACACCUAUGACACUACCCACUAUGAAGGUAGUAACAUAGACUAGUAACAUAUGUAUGUUACUAAUCUAAGUUACUCCCCACUAUAACCAGCCUUAACAUGUGCGGUUACAGUUUGACAGCCAUGGCCAGCGACAAGCGAGCUCCUGUUGCCAGUAUAGCGCGGUGGGUAGCGCGUCCAUGGCCGAGCCAUGCUGCCAGUCCGUUUCAAUCAAGCGUGGAAAGCUACGCCGCUACUACGGAGUACGUUUAGGUUGGUCGUAAUGAUAGUAUCAUACUACCUCCGUUCGGGUUUAUAGGUUCCCAUUGUAUUUCGUGCUAAAUUUUGACCAUAGAUAAAACUAAUAAAAUGUUCACGCAUGUCAUCAAACAUUAUAUUUUUGAAAACUAUGUUCAAAUACGAAUCCAAUGAGAUAAAUUUUUUUGACAUGCAUUAACAUUUUGUUAGUUAAAUCUUUAGUUAAAAUUUGGCACAAACUACAAAGGGGACCUAUAAACCAGGACAGGACGGAGGUAGUAGUUAGUAUCAUGCAUGCCAACCAGACAAUUUUGACGAGGUGUCAUAGCAUUAAAUGAAGAAAAAAAGAGUGGAGUAUCAUAAUAAAUGCUAUGCUACUUUGUGUCAUGCAUGACAAUAAAUAAAGUAUUACAUGAUACUACUAUAUGAUACUAUGCAUUACGGAGGUAGUAUCAUACACUACUAGUACCAUAUGCAUGAUACUAGUAUAUGAUACUCUCCAUUACAACCAGCGAUCAACGAACAAACGAACGGAGCAACGGCAAUGCAUGCCUAGCUGAUGCCAACGUGAAGGGCCUUUAAUGGAACCGAAGAGCCCGAAAGCUCCUUGAUCGAUGUCUACAUGCAUAGCACACGCAUCAUGUAUAGUAGCAGAUUGUACUGGCUUAGCUAAAUGGAUCGGCACCGUUGGCUAGGAUCCGAGCACAAAAGCGACGUGGCCGGUUACGUGCCACGCCGGCAGCACCUUCUUAAUUAAAUGGACAGCCACGCUUUACAUCCCGUGUGGCUCGUGGUUUGUUUUAAGGGUUAAUUAUCCUUUUGCUCUCAAUGGUAUCCAUGUGCUCAGUUUUUCUCUCAGAUGCGAAUUGUGCUCAGUUUUGCCCCUAGUCCGUGCGCACCGACUCGUUCCGUGAACUCUGCCGUCUCCGUCAGGUCAACCUUUUGACUCGGCCCUUACAGGUGGGACCAGGCGGCAGAAACGGCCAAUUUUAUUCAGACCGUUGCACGCGUGGUUUGUGGGACCCAGCAAAGAGCCGUUGAGUAGAGAGCCGUUGGCGAGUGUGCUAUAUAAGCGGGCGACAGCGGCGGUGACCACGGCAACAGAGAGCACGGCGGUGACCACGGCGAGAGAGAGAGCACGGCGGCGGGAAGCUAGCUGUGGAGGGUGCGGCGGUGGGAAGCUAGCAGUGGAGGGCGCGGCGGCAUUGAGAUCCCCUUCGGCUCCGAGCUCCAUGUCUUCCUCAAGCUCCUGCGCCACCUCGCGGAUGCAGAGCCGGGCGCGUGUGGACAUGCAUGUCUUCGUCUGUCCGCGGUGCCGGGCGGGCGUUGAUCGAAGGGUUUCUCAGACACCGAGGAACCAAAAUCGUCCGUUCUACGUGUGCAGCGAGAAUGGGGUAAGAAUCGGGGCAAUUGCACCAUUUUCGUCGUCGGGAUGUUUGAGCAAUGGGUUGAUCUGUUUAGUGUUCAUGCAGGUGACAUGCUUCUUUCUUUGGGUCGAUGCUCUGGCCAAGACUCUGAUGAAUGAACUGCAAGAAGAGCAUGAAGAAUGGUUGCGCAUGCUGCCACGAACGGCAGUGGCCACACCACGAGCUCCGGAAGAAGAGAUGGAUGGCGAAGCACGCACUGACAGAGAGCUAGCUAUUGAGCUUAGGAUGUUGAAGAAGAAGGUUAGGAAGCUUGAAGAUCAAGCACUACCAAUACCCAUUUGCAAAUACUUUUGGGCAUUUGUAGGUAUGGUAAUCGCACUGGUUGUAAUGUUGAAAAUGUAUGGAAAGGCAUGAAAGGCUGCAAGAUAAUUUUCAUGUGAGGCUGCAAGAUAAUCUUGAAAUUGUUUGAGAAAUUCACCUAGUUUAAAUGUUGGUUAAAGUUAUUUAAAUGUUGAAACAAAAAGAGAAGAAGUGACCAACAUUUAAAUAUGUUGGAAAAAAAGAGAAGAAAUUAGGAAUUCAGAAACUUUUGAUCAAUGAAAUGCAGCUCUCUGCUCUGCCUUUCUGUCCAAAAAAAAGGUUGCUCUUGGGCCAAAUUCAGAGCGUAGAGCCAAGUGCAGGCUAGACUAAUGGGCCAACUGCAUCCAAUUAGGCCCAUUCAGGGGUUUUCUUGCGUAUUUUUUUGUUUUCUAUUCUGAUUUAAUUUAGGCAAUAAAUCAUAAUGCUGAAACUUUUUGUGGAAGCUAAUUGAAUUAUUCCGGAGCCAAACAAUUAAGGUUAGAAAUUUUUUGGAGCCGUUAAUUAAUCCAAUUCAAAUACACCGUGAUUUAAAUCAAAGACCAAAAUGUCAUGGAAAAUGUGCCUCAGCUCUGGUAGAGGUUUACGCCAGGUGCCAAAAUAAAUGAACAUUUUUUAAGGGCAUUACAUUGAGGAAAACAUAAUAUGUAUAAAAAAUGAAGGGUGGAAAAUGCACAAAAAAUUGGUGCGGCUGGGGACUCGAACCCAGGACCACGUGGGUUUGUGGUGUUUAGGGCUGUGCUGGUAACCGCUAGGACAGAUGGCAAGACUCUGACAUGGGUAGGGAAGGAAGGUAUACAUAGUGAGACUGUAAAUUUUUUUAAAAAAAAAUAGUGAGACCGUGAAUGUUUGCACACGCGUGAGAGUGGUUUUCCUUUGUUUUGCACUUAAAUUUUGGAGGGUUGGAAGGUUGAAAAUGUAUGUUGCACUACCACAUGAUUUUGGUCAGAGUGGCACUUGGUUUAGGGUUAGAGUGGCACUUGGUUUAGGAUUUAAAGGGAAUAAAUUUACAUGUUAGUUCAUGACUUUUUGUUUGAAUGAAACAGAGGGCUUCUCACCCCCUACGAUUUUCAUUAAUGAAAACCACAAGUUCUUGAACUUCAUGACUUGUUUAGGAAAGAAAUGAUAAGUUUGGGCACGGACAUUUUUUAACACACAUAAUGAGAUAAAACACACCGUACCAUUACAAUAACUUAGAUAAGUUCACGGACAGUUCAUGGACACAUGACGAAACAUGACACGACACGACAUGACAUAGAAAAGCAACAAAAUAAAAAACCAAACAUGACGAGCUUGACUCCGGGCUUGAACAUCUUCAUCUUGACCUCCUUCUUCCAUCUUGGCCGCGCGCGCCCCUUCAACACCAUCUUCAUCUUCACACCUUCUCCUCGUCGUCGUAGGGAAGGGAGUGCAUCUGGCCUGGAGCGGGGAAGAUGCGCUCGUAGUUGGUGUAGAUGUUGCAGAUGGUGAAGAAGAUGGCCUCGCAGCCGCACCAAAAGACUUGGCUGAGGAGCUCGCGCGCGUCAAAUGAUUUGGUGAAGGUGACCGUGAGCAGUAGGAGGAUGCCGCCGCGGUCACGAACCUCGUUGAGGGUGAACAUCCUUGGCGAGCCCCGUGGGAGGUGGGCAUAGCCGGCUCUGAGAAAGGCGCGGGUGAGUUCGACGGAACCCCUCCACCUUGAAAUAGCCCACACACGGAGCUCCCUCUCCACGAGCACGCCCGGUGGGUACCGCAGCUCCGGCACCACAGGCGGACGGCGGAAGGUCGGCCCGUUGAACUGCAUCUUCUUCACUUGGUCUCGCUUGGGGAGGGCUUGGUCGCUUGGGUGUUUGAAGUUGGAGAGGAUCGGAUCUGGCUUGUGGGUGGGAGAGGAAGAGAGGCACCCCAUUUAUAGGCCUGUGGGUGGGAGAGGAAGAAAGAAAGGAUGAGAACGGUGUGUGCGUGAAUCCGGACGCGUGUGUAUAUCCGUUACGUUUUGCACACUUAAAUUUUUGCACGAAAACGAUGCAUCUUUGACCGGGCAGUGCAUGUGAACCGCUGCCCUGAACCACUGCCCUGAACCACCUAGCUCGCCUCGCUAGCCUAGCUCGCCUAGCUCGUCUAGCGCGCCUCGCUCGCCUCACUCGCAUGCAUGCAUGUCGCCGCCUCCCGCGCAUGCGCAAACCCACGUAGCCGCCUCCAUGCAUGCAAGGCCUGGAAAGGCUGAGACGGGCUAUUUACUGCGAUCUCAGGCCCAGACAACGAGACGGCCCAACGGUCCAUCCAGCGCGUCCGAUAUUUGUUAAAAAAACAAUUUCCCAGCCAAUCAGAUUGCAUCUCGCGGAUCGCCCCCCUCCUCCCCGCAGAUUUCUUCUAGAAGGGUUAGAUCGACGGCCCUUGAUCACCGCUAGGGUUAGAUGAACAGUCCUUAUUCAGCGCUAGGGUUAGCGGGGUUUGGGAGGGGUUUGGAGCAGUCAAAGCUAUGUUUGACCAGAUUUCAAAUGAGCAUAAUAAAUUAAAUAAAAAUCAGAAAAAUGAAAAACCUGCGCACAUAGUCUUCUUAUGUCAUAUACUAACGAUUUAAGUUGAUAAACAAGCUUUACAUACAUUUAAAUGAUAAGUUCAUGUGUAUUGUAUGAUAUCUCGAGUAUCUCAAACUCUCUUGUAUGAAGUGAAGAGAAGUGUUUUGGGGAAAUGAACAUGAAAAUUUCAAAAAACUCACCACAGCUUCAUUUUGGAGUAACUAAGAAGGAUCCAGGCUUAGUUUUUCAUUUUGAUGUUUUACACUUGUUUAAAUCUUGGUCAAAGUUAAGUUUGACCAGAAUUCAAAUGAGCAAAACAAAUUUUAAAAAAAUCAAAAAAUAGAAAAACCAGCGCACAUAGUCUGUACAUAUAGAAUAUAUGUGUAGGAAAGUUAUUUGGCUGAUUUAGAUAAGGUCGAAAAAAACUUUGCUUAGAAAUGAGGCCGUUUACCCUACCUUUGGACCCCUCUUUUUAGCACAUUUUUCAUGAAAAUUUCAAAAACCUCACCACAACUUCAUUUUGAAUUGACUAAGAAGUAUUCAGGCUUAGUUUUUCAUUUUGAUGUUUUAGACUUGCUUAAAUCUUGGUCAAAGUUAGGUUUGACCAGAAUUUAAAUGAGCAAAACAAAAUUCAAAAAAAUCAAAAAAAGGAAAAACCAUGUGCUCAUUCAAACAUCAUCCAACAGAUAUUUAAACAUCAUGUCAAACAUACUUCUAACAUAGGUCCAACAUCAUCCAACAGAAAUACAACAUGUCAAGUGAUAAAUGUUUCAUAAUACAACAUCAUUCCUUAUUCAUAAUGUUUCAUAAUUGUUCAUAUAUAGCGUUGGGGCUUCUGUCUGUUCCUUGAGCUUCUUGCCAUCACUUUGCUCCUCGUGCACCUUGUGCUCAUUGUUUCUUCUCUUCUUCUCUUGGUUGUCGGUACCUUGCGCGUCUGCUUCAAACCUACCAUAAAGCUGUGCAAAACAUAAAGGGUCCAAACAUAAACGGUAAUGAGAUCGUGUCAAGUGAUAGAUGUACAGUAGUAUUUGACCCUUGCAAGAUUUACAUACCUAGCAGAACUCACAACAACAGAAGGUUGGUCACCAUUUGGAGCCUCACUUGGAUCACCAUGAUCACCAUUUAGAGCCUCAGUUGGAUCACCAUUUGGAGCCUCACUUGGAUCAUCAUUUGGAGCCUCACUUGGAUCACCAUGAUCACCAUUUAGAGCCUCACUUGGAUCACCAUUUGGAGCCUCACUUGAAUCAUUAUUUGGAGGAUAUUUUGGAUCAUCGUCAAAAUCAUGCGGCUGUUGACCAUCAUCAUUUGGAACCUCGUUAAAAUCCUCAUCUGAUGCAAUCGGCUGUUGACCAUCAUUUUCAUCAUCUGUUGAGGCAACCGGCUGUUGACCAACAUUUUCAUCAUCUGUUGAGGCAACCGACUACUGACCAACAUUUUCAUCGAAGCCUUCAUCGAAACUCUCUCCGAACGCUGGAUCUACUGUGUUAUCACAAUACUUACCGAAAUGACCAGACCCACCACAUCUUGUGCACUUACGCUUCCUCGCUCCAAGUCCAGCUCCUUCGCUGCGAGGUCUUAUUCGACUCUUCCUUGAUCUACCUGCUGCUCUCUUCAGAACUGGAGCGCAAAGCUUGAAUCCAGGGUCCACCAUGUCCCAUUGUUGUUUUCCCUCCAUAGCAGGCAAGGCAUAAGCAUAUGUGGCUUUGAACCUUGCAACAGAGUAGUAAUCAUGCACAUACUGCUGUAUGUUCCCUGCUGGACCUGGGAGAGAAGUGAUGAAAAACAAGGCAUGAAUGCAUGGCAACCCAGUUAUCUGUCAUUGCCUACAACUGCAAGUUCUAGCUUCUAAAUCCACUGGAUAUCUCCAUUCCCUCUUCUCUUUAUCCAAAUAUGAUAUCUCUGCUGUGGUACCCGAGCAAAUCGUCAUGUUCAUUUCUAAGCCUAUUGUCUUCUGCUUCAGUUCAUUCAUCACGGCAGGGAUGAUAAUGUGGCCCAUGAAUUUUGCCUCGGCUAUUCCUACACGAUAAUGAAAUUUCUGCAUGUAUUCUAUCCUUAUCCUGUCAAGCAAAUCCACCACAUAAUGACCCUUUAGUUUCCGGAUCGUUGAGUUGAAAGACUCUGCUAGAUUAUUGUGCACAUAGUCAACUUUGCUCACUUCAUUGAAUUGGCUUCUGGCCCAUAACUUGGAGUGGUGUGUUUUCAAGUAUUCUUUCACUUUGGGAUUCAUGUAUAACUGCCUCAAGUGGUAGUUGUGCUUCUUCACACUGCAUGUCAAAGAUGCUGGCCAUAAAUUGUCGGUAUACACCUUUCCUUUGAAUUUCUUCAUGAAAUUUGCAGCAAGGUGACGCAUGCAUUCCCUAUGCUCUACUCCAGGGAACACAUUGUCCACGGCCAUUUCUAAACCUUUGCAGGCAUCUGUAUGAAUGACCAACCCAUUGGGAUGUGCAAUAGCCCGGCGGAGAUUAUGCAAAAACCAAGUCCAGCUCUCCUCAGACUCUGUCUCCAGCACACCAUAGGCAACUGGAAAUACAAAACUAUGUGCAUCAACUGCACAAGCUGCUACUAACUGUCCUUUAAACCUUCCUAUGAGAAAAGUGGCAUCAAUAGCCAAAUAAGGCCUGCAGCCUGCCAAAAAACCCCGGCGACAAGCCUCAAAGCAGACAAAAACCCUUCUAAAGCAUUCCUUGGUCUUUGUCACUCCCCUGAAUGUGUACUCCACGGUGUGGUGAUCAAUAUCUACAAUACUACCUGGGCUUGUCCUCUCCACUUCACCUUUGAAUGAAUACAACAAUUGAAAACUUUCCUGCCAGUUACCAUAAAUAGAAUCCAUAGCAUGUUGUUUACCAUUGAACAACCUCAUGUAUGGUAAAUCUAUCUUGAACUUAUCUUUGAUGUUCUUCUGCAAUUCCUUUGGACCCACUUGCUGGUUUUCUUUCACCCACUUUUUUACUUCUUCUGCCACCCAUCUUGACUUGGCUCUACUGAUUGUAUCCUUCCUAAGGGUUGAUUCCUAGCAUGUGUGUUUAAAAGGAUUCACUUUGACCUGAACAUUAGUGCUAUUCCACAUUUUAGCUGCAAGCAGCCUCCAUGGACAACCCUCAGUCGGACAGUGCACUCUGUAACGUACUUGAUCGCUCUUGUCAACUUUGAAAGUACGUUCUACCUUGAUGCAGUAUGUCACAAGUGCAUUUCUACACUCAUUCAUGGAUGCAAAAACUGUACCUUCUUCCAUUUGAGGGUUCAAAGGGUCCCAUUCAACAGCUGCAAGGUCUUCGUCCUCACCCAUCGCGUCAUCAUCCACACGGACUGCAUUGUGAGCCUCAUCUUGGUUUUCAGCCCGAGGUGCCCGUCGUAAAUUCUGAAUAACAUCAGAAUAUAACUUCUCUUCAUCAACCCCAGAAUUGUAGCCAUCAGGCUCCACUUCAAGGGGGGCUCUACUGCUGUUGCCCACACUUGUCGAGCCACCACGUCGCCGUGCACCAACUGAACUGUGCUGGCUAGAGAUGCCAUUACGACGACUUGAUUCUCCCCGAGAUGUUGCACCCGCCAUCCUAGGUCCAAAUGCCUGCUCAAGCACAUCAACUUGCAGCCUCACAUGAAAAUUAUCUUUCUCUUUAUGCCUAACAAACAUGGUAGCUAGCUCUUCAUCAUUACUAAUUGUCACCCAAUUCUUUUCCCCAUCAUAGUAUUUGUAUACCACUUCAUCAAGCAAACCCCAAGGAUAUUGGCUACAAAUUACCUCCCCAAAUUGUCUGAAACUCCAAUUACUAGCCAUUGGCAACCGAUAAUCAAAACCUCCUUGGUAUUUCUUCUUAUCCUUUGCAUCGAACAUGUACCGGUCCCUUCUAAUGUGCACCAUGAAAGCAAACCGCAACUCCAUCCUAACCGGCGAAAAACAGAGACGCAAUCAGCACACUAAUUGGGCAAACCUACUCGAAUCGAGUGUUCAAAUGCACAACUAAGCUCAAUCUAAACAAGAGGCGAGACUUACCCCUCGGAAACCCAGUCGUGGACGCGGCGGAUCUCCGGCCCGAUGCCUGCCUCGCCAAAUACUCCGGGGUCGCCGCUGCUCACCAUUUCGCCCUAUGGUUCUUCCUCCUAGUUCAAAUAGCUCCAGCAGCCCCCCACCUUUGAGCGCUCCGGCCGGGCACACGGAAGGAGGCCGCGCCGCGAAUCGAGCAGGUGGCGGGCGCCCCACCCGUGGCGUCGCAGGAAGGUGGUGGGCGUCACAAUGAGCCGUGGAGCGUAGGCGCAGGGAGGUAGCGGCGGAGCAGGCCGUGCAACUGGUGGCGGGGCAGGUGCUGGCCGCGGCGCAGGUGGCGGCGGCGGCGGCGCAGGACAGCCGGCCGGGCGGAUGGGUGUGAGCUAGAAUGAUUUGGGGAUUUAGUUGCAGGGGCCUACAUGUCAGCUCCGGACCCACGUCCACGCGGUCCCACGUGUAAGCUCCGGACCCACAACUACUAACGCCGGCGGACGGAAUGGACUCAAAUAUGGCCGUUUGGCCUCGUCGUAGUUGUUGUGCUCGGACUAGGGGCAAAACCGAGGACAAUUUGCAUCUGAGGGCAAAACUGAGCACAUGGACACCACUGAGGGCAAAAGGAUAAUUAACCCUUGUUUUAAAUUACAAUUUUGCUAGAACUCAUCUAGAUGAGAUAUAAUUUGAUCUCAUUCACUUUUUAUAGUCAUUGGAUGUGAUGCUAUAAGAUGCGUGUAUACUGACGUGGAUUGUAUUUGUUCUUAUUUUUAAAGUGAAUGAGACCAAAUUAUUUCUCAUCUAGAUGAGUUCUAGGUACUUCCUUUAAAUUACAGUACACAUAUAUGGCGUAAUAAAGGCCAACUAAAGAGGGUCGACAAUUCGAGGUGGACAUAUCUCAUGGGGCCAGCGUGCCGUCUUAAUUAACGUAAAAAUCCUCCGCAUGGAAUUGAUUGUUAAUUAUGCACAUGAAACUCAGAUCAGACAUUCCUCGGUUGAGCUAGAGCCAGAGCCGGGCUGCAACUGCAAGCUACUCCUUCCUAGGCUACUAGGGUGGUGGUGGACUGGUGGCUGGCUAGGUGGUUCACGCAUGCACUAGAGAAUUGGAGCUCAGAUGGUCCAUAUGGCGCAAAUGAUAAUAAUUUGAUAGCGGCAGCUUGACACGCCUGCGCGGGUGAGUAAUUGAACCAGCGAAGGCAACGGUACGUCUCACCCACCGUGAAGAAGGCCGCUCCCUCCGACUCCGAGCGGCUGGGUUCCUUCCUGGUCAUCGCCAAAAUAUGGCCUGGACGGGUGGGCCCGUAAGAUCGACGCGACAAAAACCCAGCACAGUAUCCUGUCAAUAUUGGUUUUCUUGGUCACAGUCAGUGUGUGUUGUCAUGCGCAAAAGUGGCCGGUGGGCUCUCUCUUCACAACCUUCGUCGCCAUGCCAGCCAUCCUGGUUCAGAGAUCACCGUCGCUAAACGUGCUUGUGCGCGCGUUAAUCUGUUACGUCUAUCUCUCGUUGAAGAUGUUGAGUUAUAUUCCAAAUUCAUAUAAAGGCUAAAUUCUGGCGAGGCAGAGAGGAGGCCCAUCUUCGAGAUGCUCCCCGCGUUCACUAUCUCGCCGGUGGAAUGCACUGUCACGGCAGGAGGUCUCUCACGGCACACUCAGCAAUGUCGACGCGUCGCGGCCAGAGUCCUCAUCUGGAUUCCAAUCGCUGCCGUUGAGGUUGUUGAGUUGUGAUCCAAAUUUAUAUAAAGGCUACUUCUGGCAUAGCAGUGCGGAGGCUCGUCGCCGGGAGGCUUGGNNNNNNNNNNNNNNNNNNNNNNNNNNNNNNNNNNNNNNNNNNNNNNNNNNNNNNNNNNNNNNNNNNNNNNNNNNNNNNNNNNNNNNNNNNNNNNNNNNNNNNNNNNNNNNNNNNNNNNNNNNNNNNNNNNNNNNNNNNNNNNNNNNNNNNNNNNNNNNNNNNNNNNNNNNNNNNNNNNNNNNNNNNNNNNNGACCUAGGUCGGCACAUUACACACCUCUUGGAAGCCGUCACACAAGAUAAUCAUCGUUGUAAAUCCCGGGCGUUUGUAACCUCUCCCGAAGUUUCACCGGCCGAUGCCCGUGGUUUUUUACCCUUCUCUUCGGAGGGUUUUUCCCACGUUAAAAUUUUGUGUCCUCUGUGUUUAUUUGAUCGUCUUCAUUUCUAUUGUCUGUCAUAUCUCUAACAAAAGAUUAUUGUACAUACAUACACAAAUGUACAUGAUGACGGUUGCAUUUUGUAAAUGAGGAUCGACGAGCCAGGAAAUAUGUCACGUGUAGAUAAGACUUCGUGAAAGAUUUUGGUGUAAGUCGAGGGUUUAGUUCGUGGCACCGUGGAAAAACAACGCGUGCCUUUUGUUCUUGAGUACCGAGGCCAUAAUAUUGGGCAUCAAAUCAUAAAUACAGUGAAACGUAUAAUACCGAAUGGGAAACUAAGUGGGGAGUAACCAGAAUAUAGUUGUGUUUGGUGUUGUGGUGUAAUUUUAGGAUGGUCCUAUAUUAUGAAUCCAUUUUGUGUCAUCCGAUGACUGUUAAAAUGGACUUUUCUCAUUAUACAAAUAACUAAAUAAGGAAAUAAUUACGUUGUAUUAAUAAAGCAUGGUGCUAGACUUUGAAAUAUAUCAUACCUGCUGAUCAAAUUUCCAUGUGUUUUUACUACAUGACACAUGCUUGCGGUUUUUAUAGCUAGUCAACAUGGGUACUAAAUAGAUGUGUCAUUUUCUUAUACAAGGCCACAACUCAUAUUACAAAUAUUAAGGUAAAAUUUAAUUACUGUUUUACAAGCUAACUUUUCUUUUCGUUAACCAGUAUCAUUAAUACGACACAUGCAUGCAAGGAAGGAAUGAGAAGGAAGUAGCUAAAUUUCAUUAUGACUACAUGCAUACAACUGUUAAACAAAUUGCUAGUACGAUGAAACACCAUUAAUUUUUGCCUCCAUUAUUGUUGGUGGCCUUGUAUAAGGGAAUGGAGGGAGUAGUAUGAAUUAAACAGUACAUACCAAAGCAAAACAACGAAGCUAUGCGUGAAUAUUUGGAAUCCAGAAGGAAAAAAUUAUCUAAUACUAAGGCAUGCCUAUAUAUAUAGAAGCCAUGCGUAAAUAUUUGGAAGCCAAAGCAAAAUAAAAAAAUCCAUUAUGAAUUUCUUUUAAACAUAUUGAAAAUGGGGGUAAAAAUAUUCUAUAGACAUUCCUUUUUUGAUAAGUAGCUGCUAUAGCUAGAACAUUAUAGGUGAGCAAAUGUACCAUUGAUGAUGGACGGCUCAGAGCUAAGCGGGACAAAUUCUAACUAAACAGACAAGCAAAAAAAUGUAUUUAUACAUCGUUUUGGUACCUUGGUCCGAAAAUGAUGUGUAGUGAUUUUAAUUUGAUGAAGUGAUUUUUCUUUUUAAAACGGAGGCAAAAUUUUUGCCUCAUCUCAUUAAAAAGAAGGGGAAUAAAAAAGUUUGCAGAGGGCCAUUACACCUCACACAAAUGGAAAGAAAACACAAGCCUACUCUCGCGGCAUCAAAGAACCCAAAUGCUUCGCCCCUACGACAAUCCAGAGCCCCGACUCUGCUUUAAUAGCCUCAACCAACUCGUUUGGCAACCUACAUACAUGCUGGAACACCCUCGCGUUUCUCUCUUUCCUCAUCUUCCAAGCAACAAGCAUGAUGAGUGAUGAAAUCGCCUUCCUUCUGUGCCCAUGCCUAAGGACCACCGCCGUCCACCACUCUCUGACCAUGGGGAUUCUGUUCCAGGCCGCAACGUCCAGUUCAGGGGCAUCCACUCAAACUCCGAUCGCAUUCCAAAUGUGGGCAGAGAACCUGCAUUGGAAGAGAAGAUGAGCUGCGGUCUCUGGCUCCCUCUUGCAAAGUUGACACAAGUUGCAGUUGGGCCACCCUCUUCUUUGCAGUCUGUCUGCCAUCCAGAUUAUAUCCUUGAUAACUAGCCACGCAAAGAACUUGCACUUGGGCGGUGCCCAUGUCACGCCCAAUAUGCGAUACUAUCCUAAAGAGACUCGAAGGUCCCACCAAGGAUAGAACCACAUAUUAAGACGCUUUUGCAAGGUGGAUAUCAUUACAUCAACAUUACAUAAUAGAUGGGGAUACAUACAAAGCAUAUAAAUGCCACAAGAGUACAUCAAUACCACAUACAUAAGAUCAACAUCCGACUACAGAUGAAACACAAACAGAAGCUCAAACAAUAUCCACCCUGCUAUCCCAGGUUGCCGACCUGGAACCUAUCCCCUGAUCGAAGAAGAAGCAGAAAAAGAACUCCAAAACAAGUAACAUCGCUCUCGCGUCAAGAUCAUCGCAAAACCUGUACCUGCAACUGUUGUUGUAGUAAUCUAUGAGCCACGAGGACUCAGCGAUCUCAUUACCAUGGGUAUCAAGACUAGCAAAUCUUAAUGAGAAAGGAAGGGGUAAAGUGGUGAGGUUGCAGCAGCGACUAAGCAUAUAUGGUGGCUAACAUACGCAAAUAAGAGCAAGAAGAGAGCAAACGGAACGGUCGUGAAGCUAGCAAUGAUCAAGAGGUGAUCCUGAACUCCUACUUACGUCAAACAUAACCCAAAACCGUCUUCACUUCCUGGACUCCACCGAAAAGAGACCAUCAUGGCUACACACACGGUUGAUGCGUUUUAAUUUAGAUCUGGUGUCUAGUUAUCUACAACCGGACAUUAACAAAUUCCCAUCUGCCACAUAACCGCGGGCACGACUCUCGAAAGUUUAUAACCUGCAGGGGUGUCCCAACUUAGCCCAUUAUAAGCUCUCACGGUCAAUGAAGGAUAUUCCUUCUCCCAGGAAGACCCGAUCAGCCUCGGAAUCCCGGUUUACAAGACAUUUCGGCAAUGGUAAAACAAGUCCAGCAAGACCGCCCAAUGCGCCGACAUCCCGAUAGGAGCUGCACAUAUCUUGUUCUCAGGGCAACACCGGAUGAACACUACAUACAACUAAAACCAGACCUCGGGUUUCCCCGAGGUGGCACUGCAAGUGGCUCUGGUUCGGACCAGCACUUAGAGAAGCACUGGCUAAAUAAAGAUGACCCUCGGGUUGGCCAACCAAAGGGAAAGUUAUAGGUGGUGGUGAGGCAAAUGGUAAAACCAAUGUUGGGCCUUGUUGGAGGAGUUUUAUUCAAAGAGAAAUGUCAAAGGGGUCCCAUAAAUCACCCAACCGCGUAAGGAACGCAAAAUCCGGGAACAUAACACCGGUAUGACGGAAACUAGGGUGGCAAGAGUGGAACAAAACACCAGGCAUAAGGCCGAGUCUUCCACCCUUUACCAAGUAUAUAGAUGCAUUAAUUAAAUAAGAGAUAUUGUGAUGUCCCAAUAUAAUCCUGUACAUCAUGGAGCAAUCUUCAACUUCACCUGCAACUAACAACGCUAUAAGAGGGCUGAGCAAAAGCGGUAACAUAGCCAAACAACGGUUUGCUAGGAAGGGUGAAAAAGGUUAGAGGCUGACAUGGCAAAUUGGGAGGCUUGAAGAACAAGUGAUAGGUAGCGCAUCAUAGCGAUAGAACGAAGCAACUAGCAUAGCAAUGAUAGUAGUGAGAUCCAAGGUGACGGUCAUCUUGCCUAAAAUCUCGCAAGGAAGAAGAACGAAUCCAUGAAGAAUAUGAAGCCACGAAGACGAACCAAGCGUAGACGAACGAAUCCUCACGAUCGCAACGAAAACGGGAACUAUCGAGAAGAAGCACACAACAUGGUAAACACACCACACAUAGACAAGACAUGAUGCACAACAAGCAUGAUGCAUGACAAAGCUACAUGAAGCUACUCAUGGCAAGAGAUGAUGCAUACAAGAGCAACACAUCAAAGCAAGUUUAAAUGAGGCCGGAAACAACAUAUAGCAAUUCCGGUAAGUCCUUAUAUGAAAAUUUCAAAAUUGGUCCAUAUCUGAAUAAACCUUAUGUUCAAGUUGUUAAACAGCAAGUUAAGUUGCACCAAGAUGAUCUACACGAGAUUAUAGUCAAGUUAUAUAUAGAGUUCGUUUAAUUCGGAGCUACGGCCUAGAAGAUAUGAGUAAAAGAAGUUAAACAUGGCAUUGAUGCAAAAUGCAUACAAACAUCAAGCAAACACCUCAAAACAAGGAUGCAACAUGAUAAUAUGAAGCUACAUGCAAAAUCAAGCAAGUUUCAUAUAAAGCACACUCAAAACGGAGCAACGGUUCAACACACACACAUGAAACAAGUUUAAAAGACAAGCUGUCCAAAACAGCAACUAGGCAUCUAGAAAGCAUCAAAAAAAUAUGCUACAACAUCUCAACAUGGAAACAAAAGACAUGGACAUGAUGUACAUGUAAAGCAUGACAAAACAUGAACACUGAGCUAUCUCCAGAAAACACUAGAACAUGCUCAAAAAGACAUGGCAAGAUUGCAAAUAAUAACAGUUUCAGGCUUAACAGAAAUAAUAUCAGGUUGCAAUGUUUAGAGCUAUCAAACAACAUGUUACAGGAACUUAACAAGGCAAACAAAGGCAUGGCAUGCUAUUACUAAAGACAAAGAACAAAUCUCCCUUACUGAACUAAAUCCAAAGAUCAACAGAAAAUAUGGUGGCAUCCAUGCAAACAUGGCAAAUGAUAUGACAUAUUCAGACAUGGCAGGAACAACAAUAAGUAGGCAUGUUGGUGAGCUUGUACCACUGACCACAGAGCAAUACAUGGGAUGACAAGGUAACCAACAGUAAUAAGACAUGUUUAUUAAGCUAAGCAUGACAAGAUAAAGUUCAUAGGGUGCAUGGAUCACUAGUAAAGCUCAUGGCAAAACUGAACUUAAUGUUGACAGGCUGACAACAAUAUUAUUUAGCAACUUUGGAGCAUGAUAACAACAAUCUACAGCAAGCCAUAAUUACAACCAAGGGCAUGGAUAGAUAUAGCAUAACAUGUAUAACAAAACAUCCUUAGUGAACAUCUCCAGAUUAUGCAUAGAAUGACUUGUAGCAGCAGGUUUACAUAGCAUCAUGAUAUAACAGAAUCAGCCUACCAAAAUAGUAACAACAAGUACCCUACUUCACGAGCUCGAUGCACUCACUAAAAGCCACACAAAAAUACAUGGCAAGCACCUCUGUAAAGAUGGAAUGACAUAUCUCAAAACACAUGUAGACAUCAAGCUCACAAGAUGCACACAUCAAAUGCAACAAAAAUGACAAAACAUCAAGUUCUGUUACCAGACAACAGUUAACAUCAUAUAGCACUCUUGCAACGAUGAUUAGGGCAUCAAUAUGGACUCAAACAAGCAUGGAACAAUGGAAUGAAAUGAAUAGCAUCUCAUGAUGAACAUUUUGAUAUAUUAUAUGCAUGAAACGGAGGAGCACACAUGAAGUUAUGGUCUGAUGAACAGAGCAACAUAAUGCAAUAAACUUAGGGACUUCGAAAAAUAUACCCCUCCAAAAACAGAUCUAGGGUUCCAGCGGCACGGACUUCGAGGUUGGCUGGAGUUGUGGGAGAUGACCGGAGGAAGGUCCGGCGAGGCGGGGAGAUGGCCGGGGAGGCGCGGGGAGGCGGCCAGCUAAGUCGAGGCGGCCGGAUCCGGUCCGGCCAGACCGGAUCUGCGACGCGCGGGGCGGCGAGCUNNNNNNNNNNNNNNNNNNNNNNNNNNNNNNNNNNNNNNNNNNNNNNNNNNNNNNNNNNNNNNNNNNNNNNNNNNNNNNNNNNNNNNNNNNNNNNNNNNNNNNNNNNNNNNNNNNNNNNNNNNNNNNNNNNNNNNNNNNNNNNNNNNNNNNNNNNNNNNNNNNNNNNNNNNNNNNNNNNNNNNNNNNNNNNNNNNNNNNNNNNNNNNNNNNNNNNNNNNNNNNNNNNNNNNNNNNNNNNNNNNNNNNNNNNNNNNNNNNNNNNNNNNNNNNNNNNNNNNNNNNNNNNNNNNNNNNNNNNNNNNNNNNNNNNNNNNNNNNNNNNNNNNNNNNNNNNNNNNNNNNNNNNNNNNNNNNNNNNNNNNNNNNNNNNNNNNNNNNNNNNNNNNNNNNNNNNNNNNNNNNNNNNNNNNNNNNNNNNNNNNNGUGGCGUGCCGCGAUUGGGCGCGGGCGGCGGCACGGCUGAGGUGGCGUCCCCGAUUGGUUGGGCGACGUGGCUGGGCGGCGGUGGACGCGUCCGGCUGCGGGCGGACAUGUCCGGCGGCGCGAGGAGGGAGAGGGCUAGGGUUCAUCUGCGCGAAAAUUUCGGGGAGGGGCACAUAUUUAUAGGUAGAGGGAGCUAGGAGGGUCCAAAUAGAGAGCGAUUUUCGCCCACACGAUCCUGAUCGAACGACUGAGAGUAUGGAGGGGGUUUGGAUGGGUUAUUGGGCCACUUUGGAGGGGUGUUGGACUGCAACAUACAGAGGCUUUUGUGGCUACCCGGUUAACCGUUGGGGCAUCAAACGGACUCCAAAUGGCACGAAACUUGACACGCGGUCUACCGGUGGUGUACCAAGGCCACUUGGCAAAUCAUGGUCCAUUCCGAGAAUGUUUAACACCCGCUCACAAAAAGAGACAAGAAAGGGACGUCGGAUGACAUAGGAGUGCCGGAUUGCAAAACGGACAACGGGGAAAAAGCUCGGAUGCAUGACACGAACACAUAUGCAAAAUGAGAUGCACAUGAUGACAUGAUAACAUGAAACACGCAAGAAAAUGACAUGGCAAUGACAGCGAAUAACUGGCAAACACCUGGCGCAUUGAAUUCGGGGCGUUACAGCCCAGUUCUUCCACACACCACUGUGGUCAUGUUGGAGGCGACCGCACCCGCGAAUUGGGCCCUAUAGGCCGAGGUCGAGGCCGAGGAAUAAAUUCCAUCGGUGGUGAGGUUCCACUUGAUAUCAUCGGGUAGCUCGUCCUGUAGGUGUAUCGUAGUGGCUUCCCCCAAAGGGCGCAGAACUACUCAAUGUGCUCCACUGAGAGGCCUCCGGACAUGUUGAUCCAUUGGAUCCAAUUAUUUUCAAGCAAGGCCUCCCGCACAGACUGGUUCUUGUUGGCAAAGAUCUCUAAAAUGGCCGAUGCAAUGUCCUUGGGCUUCACUCCAUCUAGCUAGGGGGGAAGCCAGAAGUGUGCCCUCCUACCGGUCCCGACAGUGAUUGUCGUGGCAGCAUAGAAUAGAUCUCUGUCAGUGGUGUCACAUGGGUUUCUGAUGCCCACCCAUGCCCUGUGCAUCUCCUUCCACUCAUACCAAAGCCAUUGCAGCCUCAGAGCCUGGGCAUACAUAUGAAUCAAGGAUACCCAGCCCACCAAGCCUCUUUGGUCUACACACUAGCUUCCAGCUGACUUUGCACUAACCAUCGGAGACCUUAUCUGAACCAGACUAGAGGACAAUGCCCACGAAGUCGGAGAUAGUACCCUCCAGAAGUUUGAGCAUCCUGGCAUGGAAGGUGGCAAGGGAGGAAGGCACAGACUUGACGAGCUCAGCCCUCCCCACAGUGCUGAUGAGCCGACCCUGCCAAGGCACUGGCUUCCCAGUGGCCUUGUCCACGAGGUGUUGGAGAUCGACCUUCCGUAAAUGAUGGGCCGAAAGAAUAGUCCAAGAUAUCUCAGUGGGAACACAGAGCGAGUAGGCCGGGAAGCACUCGAGGAUGUCGUCUAGAUUGAGACUGUCGAAGCGAAUAGGGCCACCAUUGAUUUCCAUGUAUUUCAGUGGUAGUUUGGUAAACAUUGGGACUAAAUUUUAUGCACCUCUAAUUUUGUAUAACGUUUUACACAACAUAUUUAAAUGAUCGCAAGCUAAUCCUACGAUGGGCGUAUAGUGGGAUACUUAGAUCCUGUAAUCAGACCCGAGUUCUUCACCUAAUUUGAUACUAUGUAAGUAUAAUUGCUAGCACUUCUGCCUAAAAAAUAAAUCAGUAAUGUUAUCUGGCGAACUCAGCUCGGAUGGUGAUGGCAAGCGAAUGUUCUUUUUGCUGACAGUUUUAGUUGCUUCACGAGAUCAAAUGUUGACAAUUUUAGACAAAAAAAUGCAUUCUUCUAAUAUUUUCCUAAGGAAGUUGUCAUCCCCUCACAACAAAAACCGUGAGCAAAAUCUUUCGAAAUGUCAUCCCCUCCCAGCGAAUGUUCGCUAGCUAAGAUGAUCGAAAUAAAUAAUGCUAGUACUUAGUUAUCACUUCUCUUAUAGCAUCUGUGAAAACUAAUAUGUGCAUGGUUUGUGUCGUGUGUCUGACUAAAAGCAAAGAUACAGAUGGUGUCAAGCUUUUUCAUGGAUAGAGUUAUAAGAAACAUGGCAAUAUAUAAUAUAUUAAUAAAAGUUGAAAGCACAAGUGCUCCCUGGAUGAUUUUGGUAAUUAAUGUCAACAUAUCUCUUUUUGGACUAAUACUUUUACCUAGUAAGUUUCAGAUAAGUUCAACAAUGGAGUGGCAUGGACUAGAGGAUGUGGAACCCCUUCAAGAUGCUAAGGACAAAGGAUUGGCUCAAGCUCAAAUCACAAGACUCUACAUUUUACUUUUUAGUGAUCCAAGAUCACAUUGAGUCCAUAGGAAAGCCAAUACUAUUCAGAGGGGAUGAGGUGUUGCUUAAUGGCUUGCUUGCUCAAAGUGCUUAGUGAUAUGCUCCAAAGCCCUCAACCACUUUCUCACAUCCACAUAUGUCCUAAACCAAAAGUCAAACUCGGCCCCACCGAAACUUUCUAUCCGGUGCCACCGAGUUCAGUUGACAUAGCCACUGCCAUAAACCCUAGUCUUUUCGGUCUCACCGAUAGGGAUCUCGGCCAAACCGAGAUGGGAUUGUAAUCUCUCUGUUUCCCUUUGUAACAUUUCGGUCAAACCGAGAUAAGCGAUUGGUCCCACCGAGAUUGCAAUGGAAACUCUCUGUUUCCCUUUCGUAAUGUUUCGGUCCAAUCGAGAUGAGCGAAUCGGUCCCACCGAGUUUGCCUGACCAACUCUCUGUUUGUCUAUUACCAAAAUCGGUCUCACCGAGUUUGUGUAAUCGGUCUCACCGAGAUUACGUUAUGCCCUAACCCUAAUGAUAUCGGUCCCACCGAGUUGACGUGUCGGUCCCACCGAAAUUCCUAACGGUCACAUUAUGAACUAAAUCGGUCUGACCGAGUUUCACGAUUCGGUCCCACCGAGUUUAGUAAGUUGUGUGUAACGGUUAGAUUUUGUGUGGAGGCUAUAUAUACCCCUCCACCCACUCUUUAUUCAUGGAGAGAGCCAUCAGAACAUGCCUAUACUUCCAAUAUACAUUUUCUCAGAGAGAACCACCUACACUUGUGUUGAGGUCAAGAUAUUCCAUUCCUACCACAUGAGUCUUGAUCUCUAGCCUUCCCCAAGUUGCUUUCCACUCAAAUCUUCUUUCCACCAAAUCCAAAUCCUGUAAGAAAGAGUUGAGUGUUGGGGAGACUAUCAUUUGAAACACAAGAGCAAGGAGUUCAUCAACUACACACCAUCUAUUACCUCUUGGAGAGUGGUGUCUCCUAGAUUGGCUAGUGUCACUUGGGAGCCUCCGUCAAGAUUGUGGAGUUGAACCAAGGAGUUUGUAAGGGCGAGGAGAUCGCCUACUUCAUGAAGAUCUACCCUAGUGAGGCAAGUCCUUCGUGGGUGACGGCCAUGGUGGGAUAGACAAGGUUGUUUCUUCAUGGACCCUUCGUGGAUGGAGCCCUCCGUGGACUCGCGCAACCGUUACCCUUCGUGGGUUGAAGUCUCCAUCAACUUGGAUGUACGAUAGCACCACCUAUUGGAACCACGGAUAAAAAAUCUACGUGUCUCCAAAUUGCGUUUCCACACUCCAAUUCCAUCCCUUUACAUUCUUGCAAUUUGCAUGCUUUACUUUUCGCUGCUCAUAUACUCUUUGCAUGCUUGCUUGAUAUGUAUUGUGAAGGUUAAAAUUUGUGCAAAACUCCACUUCAACUUAAAUAAAUUAAAAACUGCAACUUUUCUUACUUAGAGUCUAUUCACCCCCCCUCUAGACACCUCUUCUCGAUCCUUUCAAUUGGUAUCCGAGCUUUGGUCUCCAUUGCUUUGGUUUAAACACCAUUGGAGGAAGAUGGAUGAGUCUACUUUGGAGAGUCUUAGACAUAGAGUGCAUAUACUUGAUGGAGAGUAUUUUCCUGAUUGGAAAAAUGAGAUGCUUGUGAUUUCAAUGAAUAUCAUUUGAACAAGUACAUUACUAGCCCUUGUGCACCUCAUGUUGAUCGUAUGCAUCCUACCCUUGAUGAGUCAAUUGAUAUGAUUCACAAUCUUAGAACUAUUAAUCUUAUCACUAGAGGCUUGCCUAGAAACUUGAUUGGAUGUUUGCCUACUCUUGAUUGCGCCUACACCAUAUGGAAAUUUCUUGAGGAACGUUUUCCAAACUAUUCCUUGCAAAACUUAGAUGAAAUUCUUCACAAGUCUAUUGCCUUGAGUAAGAUGAAUUGCAAUGAUCCUAAGUUUUGUGAUUGUCUUUUUGAGUUUACAAAUCUUAUGUGUGCCAAAGGAGAUGUUGGAAUCAUUAGCAAUAUUAUUUCUGAAGCUAUUAGAAUUCAUAAAGAUGACCAUUGUGAUGAUCAUUUAUCUAAUGAAUUACCCUCUCUAGGAAUUGAUCCAUCACAUGACAAUGUUGAACAUGGAUACUAUGAUAAGGAUGAUGAUAGUGACUUUGAUCUUGAUGAUGCAAUGAGACACUUUGGUCUAAUGGCAAAUCUUGGGGGAUACAUGGCAGGAGGAAAAGAAUGGGUUCUUGAUAGUGGAUGUACCGAUCACAUGACCGGGGAUAAGGAUAUGUUUCGUGAGCUUGCUGAAAAUGACAGCCCUCGAAAGUAUGUCACUUUUGGUGACAACUCAAAGGGUAAGGUGGUUGGCCUCGGUAAGGUGGCCAUCUCACAUGAUAGCUCCAUACAAAAUGUCAUGCUCGUUGAAUCUCUUGGGUACAAUUUACUUUCAGUAUCUAGACUUGCUGAUUUUGGUUUCAAUGUCCUAUUUACUGAAGUAGAUUGCCAAGUGUUUCGUAGAGACAAUCAUAAAAUGGUAUUUACUGGUAUACGCAGAGGUGAUCUUUACAUUGUUGAUUUCAAUAAAAAGGCUCAACCUAGAACUUGCUUAAUUGCUAAACCCUCUAAAGGCUGGUUGUGGCAUAGACGGUUAGGUCAUGUGGGCAUGCGAAACCUUGACAAGCUUAUUAAAGGUAAUCAUAUCCUUGGCGUUAAUGAUGCAUAUUUGAUAAGGAUAGACUUUGUAGUGCUUGUCAAGCAGGUAAACAGGUUGGAGGAAGGCAUCCCAUGAAGAACAUCAUGACCACAAGGAGGCCGCUCGAGCUACUUCACAUGGAUCUUUUUGGUCCCAAUGCUUACAAAAGUCUCGGUGGAAAUUCUUUUGGUCUAGUUAUAGUUGAUGAUUUUUCAAGAUUUACGUGGGUGUUCUUUCCCGAUGAUAAAUCCCAUGUCCAAAAGAUCUUCAAAAACUUUGCUAGGAAGGCCCAAAAUCAAUUUGAAGUGAAGAUCAAGAAGGUCCGCAGUGACAACGGAACGGAGUUCAAGAACGCAAAUAUGGACACCUUUCUUGACGAAGAAUGGAUUUCGCAUGAGUUCUCGGCUACGUACACACCUCAACAAAAUGGAGUUGUUGAGAGGAAGAACCGGACGCUCAUCGAAAUGGCGAGAACGAUGCUUGAUGAGUACAAGACGCCAAAGCACUUUUGGGCGGAAGCGGUUGAGACACCUUGUCAUGCAACAAAUCGCUUGUAUCUUCACAAGCUACUCGGCAAGAUGCCAUAUGAGCUCCUCACCGGUAACAAACCCCAAGUUGGAUACUUUCAAGUAUUCGGCUCAAAGUGCUACAUUCUUGACAAGCAUCGUUGAUGCGGAGCAUCCUUCGUCAUCCCCAUGGACCUUCCGUCGCCUCACCAAGCACCAAGAGGACCCAUGACACGAGCACGAGCUAAGGCUAUUAAAGAUAAGGUGAACUCGCUCCUCUCCGAACUUUCUCUUCCUACUCACGAUACAUGGCUACUACCUCAUUCGGAAACUCUGUGUGUGAUCAGGUGCUUGGAAGCGAGCCAUGGAAAAGCUACAUACAAGAGCCAAGACGGCGAGGACCCCAAGCAUGAGGGACAAGAAGAAGAGCUGCCAUGGAAGCUACAGGUGUCAGACGACCGACCCAGUCCGGACGUCCGACGAGUGCCAGGACACGGACGACCGAGCUUUCCGAACGUCCGGUACUUCGCCACCCGAACCAAAUCUACGGACGUCCGAAGCGGACCGGACGACAAGCAACCGAGCCGAAUCUACGGAAGACCGACGACCUCCGGACGUCCAGACCGUCACGAAGCUCCGAACGACCAACCCCCUCCGGACAUCCGACGCGCCCACGACAGAGCUGAUUCUACGGACGCCCGAGCCCGACCGGAUGUCCGGACCGUCCCGAGCCUCCGGAACUCCGACGCCUUCCGGACGACCGGCACCUGAGUGACCGCACCUGCGGGCUGGAGCCCUUGUACCCCUUCGCUUUGACUUCCAUUUGCACUACGACUAUAAAUAGGUCACCCCCACCUCCUAGUUAGGGUUAGCAUUGGUUUAGCUCAUAUUUGUGUGAGAGCCUUGCUCAUCCACUUGGAUACUUCUCCUCGGAGUUCACGCCUCUUCGGAGAAGAUCCCCCAAGCGGAUUCAAGACCCCUUUCUAGGGAAGACCAUCAAGACCUCCAUACGGAGAAGAAUGGUUCCUUUGUAUCCUUACCUUUGUUGACUUUGGAUCUCGUGUAUCUCUUUGCGUUCGGUGAUCUAGCACUCGUGUGAUUGAUCUCUUAUCGGUUGAGUGUUUCUCUCGUUUUCCCCCGUGAUUCUCUUCGUUCUCUUCUGCUCGUUCUUCGUGUCUCCCCGUAGGAUCCACUCCAAACGUGAAAGAUCGGCACCUAGGGUACCGCCCUACAUCAUCUUGGUAUCAUGAGCCACGUUGAUCACGUUUUUGGAGCCACUACCCCGUGUUUUCUAGCUUGAUUUUGUUGUUUUCGUCCUAAUUCCGAAAAUUCCCCACCAAAAAUAGCCCCAAAUUUUUUUGUGAUUUGUUCGUGAGUUGAGAUUUUGUUGGAUUUGGUCCAUGGAUUUGUGUUGCUGCGUGUGGAUCUAGCUUUCCCCACCCUCCCCACCCUUUUCCAUCCACCAAAUCACUCGAUUUCGACCUCACCAUCUCCUUCUUCCCCGAAAUCUCGCAGUUCAUCACAAGCCCGAUUUUCGCCCAGGCUCCGGACGACGGGAAAAGGUCGGACGUCCGACAACGACCGGACGACCGUAAAAGACUGGACGUCCGUGAAACCCUGACGACUCUGAAGUUUGACAGUUCGGCCACCACCACAACCCCACAUUCCACCACAUCUUCCAAACCCACAUACACCACCAUCUUCCCCGAUACCUCCUAUGACGAUUUUGACAUAUUUUGGUCCUUGAGAUUUUUUGAGUUGUGGCUCCCGUAUCCUUUUGUGUUUCGGCUAUCUAGGUACGCUUCGGCUUCAUCACCACCACGGCUCAUCUUCGCAAGGGUCUCAUCAUCGCCAAGGACGGUAACUUCGACAACAUCUUUGUCAUACCUUGCAAUUGCAUUGAUAGCCCACAUGUCCCUACCUUUGCGUAGCUUACCCAUCGAGACUAGCCAUUGAGUAUUGCCGACAAUGUGACUUGUGCACAUUAGUGAUCAUACUCCAUAGCAUACCAUACCAUAGUGGUGCAUAUCUUGGGAUCUUCUUGUGUGUCACAAAGUUGUCAUAGCAUACACAAUUGCUAUCUUGGUUCGUGAAGUUUUGCAUGAGAAAAGAGCUCAAAAGUGAAAGAGCCACCCAAGCUUUUAAGCAAAGAGGAAAGCAAAGAGCUUAUGAACAAGAACAUAGCAUCAUACUACAUUAAGAUUGUCAUAUUGGAUCAUCUUGGAUCAUUGCACCGAAGUACCAUACAUAUAGCAUACGUGGGAUAGAUAUAGUUGCAUUUUGCCUAGUAGGUUGUGCACAAGUUCCGUAUCCGCCUAUUGUGCAAUCGUGCUAGCGUCUCUCUAGUAUUGUGCAACAAGAGCAUUUUCGUGGUCUCCACAUUUUGGCUCACUUUUGGUUUGCACAAUCCCACUUAUCUAUUUGCGUGUGUGUUUCCGUGUACCAUUACUUGCUUGGUCUACUUGUUGCAUUUGGAAAUUUGUGAACCUUUUCCAACAUUAUUGAAGCUCACUUACUAUUGCAUCAAAUUUUGUGCCACCAUCCUAACCAAGCUCCACCAUAAGCUUUUACGUGUGUAGGUGUGAGAACCGACAAGAAUUGGUACCAACAGUGCUAUUUCAUUGUCCGCAUUUGAGUGAACUUGAUUCAUCUUCAAGUUCGGUCAAGGUACAUUUGGUACACGUUCUUUUCCCUCUACCACUUACAUUUUGCUUGAAAUGAUGGAUAGGCCAAGUUCUUCUACAAAUCCACCUCUCAUCGAGAACGGCGAUGACAUGUCAUCAUUCGUCACAAAGAGCCACCUCUUUGGUGCUCAAAGGGCGUUACACCAAGAUCAACAAGCUAUGAGCGACCGCAUCGACAACCUCGCCACCGACUUGCGACUCUCCGAGCAACGUACAAGAGACUACUUCAACAACAAGUUCGACUCUCACAAGCAAGAGAAUGAUGCAAGAAUGGACAAGAUCCGCGCCUUGAUGAGGAACCGGCAUCCUUCCACUUCUUCAUCCUCAAGACGGAGCCGCUCGAGUCGACACUCUGACGACACCUUCUCUGACUCAAGUACACCGUCAUCGAACACUCUUCGACGAGCCGCGCGUCAAGAUCAUCAUGCAUCUCGCAACCCGCUACAUGACAAGCAUUCCCAAGAGCAAGUUGAUGAGCAAGUCCCUCGUCCUCAAUCAAACCAAGUCGCUUUUGCUCAAGCUCAAGAACGGCAAUGACUACAGCGCCAAGAGGAAGAACGAGCGCGUCUACACCAAGAGGAACAAGACGCCGAAGCUCAACGUCUUCAACAAUAACAACGAGAAGCGCAAGCUCUUGAGGCGCAAUGUGCCCUUCAAGAAUCAAGUUGAGCCAUCGCCAACCGCAAUCGCGAACGGCGCAAUCAAGAGGAAGCUCUUCAAGAAGAAAUCCAAGAGAGGAACUACCAACUGCGUGUGCAACGUCAAGCUCCACAAGUUCCUCCACAAGCACGUCAAGCUCCACAAGUCCCUCCACAAGCACGUCAAGCUCCACAAGCUCCUCCACAAGCUCGUCAAGCUCUACCUCAACUUCAAGCUCAACAAGAACAAGUUGACUAUGGACUUCCUCCGCGCCAAGAGCAACAUGAGGAUGACUAUCCUCCAUGUCAAGGACGUCAUCAUCACCAUCGCUAACAACACAAUGAAGAACAACGCUAUGGAAAGCUCAAAUUCACAAUGCCCAAGUUCAAUGGAAGCAAUGAUCCCGAAGAAUACCUCUCAUGGGCGUUGAAGAUCGACAAAAUUUUCCGCUUGCACAACUAUGAGGAAGAGAAGAAGAUCGCUAUGGCAUCACUUGAGUUCCAAGACUAUGUGCUCAUAUGGUGGGAACAAGUCCUUGAGCGCCGUGAAGCAAGAGGUGAACCACCUAUAACCACUUGGGCUCAAAUGAAGGAAGUCAUGCGAGCACGUUUUGUGCCAACCUACUACAACCGCGAUCUCUUCAAGAAGCUACAACUCCUCAAGCAAGGAACAAAGAGUGUUGAAGAAUACUACAAGGAAAUGGAGAUAGCCAUAAUUCGAGCCAAUGUCAAGGAAGAUGAUGAGCAAACAAUGGCACGUUUCUUGAAUGGACUCAAUCAUCCCAUCAAGAAGAUUGCCGACUUCCAACCCUACUCCAACCUCAUUGAGCUCGUGCAUCAAGCAACCAAGGCGGAACGUCAAGUGCAAGAUGACUUCAAGUACGCCAAGUACUCAUCCAAGACCUACGGCUUCUCCAACAUCCAAGCUUCAACGACUCCUUUGUUGGGGAACGUUGCAGAAAACAAAAAAAUUUCCUACUCGUUUCACCAAGAUCAUCUAGGAGUUCAUCUAGCAACGAGUGAUUAGAUGCAUCUACAUACCUUUGUAGAUCGCGCACGGAAGCAUUCAAAAGAACGGUGAUGAUGUAGUCGUACUCGACGUGAUCCAAAUCACCGAUGACCAGCGCCGAACGGACGGCACCUCCGCGUUCAACACACGUACGGGACGGGAGACGUCUCCUCCUUCUUGAUCCAUCAAGGGGGAAGGAGAGGUUGAUGAAGAUCCAGCAGCACGACGGCGUGGUGGUGGAUGCAGGGCGUCACAGCAGCAGGGCUUCGCCGAGACUACGAGGGAGAGACGUAACGGGGGGAGGUGGAGGCGCCAGGGGCUGGUGUAUGAAGUCCCUCCUCUCCCACACUAUAUAUAGGGGUGCCAGGGGGGGCUGGUGCGCAGCCUAGGAGAUCUGAUCUCCUAGGUGCGGCGGCCAGGGGAGGGUUUCCCUCCCCCCCAAGGCACCCCGGGGUGCCUUCCACCACUUGGACUCCUCCUUGGUGGAACCCUAGGCGCAUGGGCCUAUAGGGGCUGGUGCCCUUGGCCCAUCUAGGCCAAGGCGCACCCCCUACAGCCCAUGUGGCCCCCCGUACAGGUGGCCCCACCCGGUGGACCCCCGGGACCCUUCCGGUGGUCCCGGUACAAUACCGAUAACCCCGAAACUUGCCCCGAUGCCCGAAAUAGCACUUCCUAUAUAUAAUUCUUUACCUCCGGACCAUUCCGGAACUCCUCGUGACGUCCGGGAUCUCAUCCGGGACUCCGAACAACAUUCGGGUUUCUGCAUAUACAUAUCUUCAUAACCCUAGCGUCACCGAACCUUAAGUGUGUAGACCCUACGGGUUCGGGAGACAAGCAGACAUGACCGAGACGACUCUCCGGUCAAUAACCAACAGCGGGAUCUGGAUACCCAUGUUGGCUCCCACAUGCUCCACGAUGAUCUCAUCGGAUGAACCACGAUGUCGAGGAUUCUAUCAACCCCGUACGCUAUUCCCUUUGUCUAUCGAUAUGUUACUUGCCCGAGAUUCGAUCGUCGGUAUCCCAAUACCUCGUUCAAUCUCGUUAUCGGCAAGUCACUUUACUCGUACCGUAAUGCAUGAUCCCGUGACCAGACACUUGGUCACUCUGAGCUCAUUAUGAUGAUGCAUUACCGAGUGGGCCCAGUGAUACCUCUCCGUCAUACGGAGUGACAAAUCCCAGUCUUGAUCCAUGUCACCCAACAGACACUUUCGGAGAUACCCGUAGUCUACCUUUAUAGUCACCCAGUUACGUUGUGACGUUUGGCAUACCCAAAGCACUCCUACGGUAUCCGGGAGUUACACGAUCUCAUGGUCUAAGGAAAAGAUACUUGACAUUGGAAAACUCUAGCAAACGAACUAUACGAUCUUGUGCUAUGUUUAGGAUUGGGUCUUGUCCAUCACAUCAUUCUCCUAAUGAUGUGAUCUCGUUAUCAAUGACAUCCACUGUCCAUAGUCAGGAAACCAUGACUAUCUGUUGAUCAAUGAGCUAGUCAACUAGAGGCUCACUAGGGACAUGUUGGUGUCUGUUAUUCACACAUGUAUUACGAUUUCCGUAUAACACAAUUAUAGCAUGAAUAAAGACAAAUUAUCAUGAACAAGGAAAUAUAAUAAUAAUGCUUUUAUUAUUGCCUCUAGGGCAUAUUUCCAACAGUCUCCCACUUGCACUAGAGUCAAUAAUCUAGUUACAUUGUGAUGAAUCGAACACCCAUGGAAUUCUGGUGUUGAUCAUGUUUUGCUCUAGGGAGAGGUUUAGUCAACGGAUCUGCUACAUUCAGGUCCGUAUGUACUUUACAAAUCUCUAUGUCUCCAUCUUGAACAUUUUCACGAAUGGAGUUGAAGCGACGCUUGAUGUGCCUCGUCUUCUUGUGAAACCUGGGCUCCUUGGCAAGUGCAAUAGCUCCAGUGUUGUCACAGAAGAGCUUGAUCGGCCCCGACGCAUUGGGUAUGACUCCUAGGUCGGUGAUGAACUCCUUCACCCAUAUUGCUUCAUGUGCUGCCUCCGAGGCUGCCAUGUACUCCGCUUCACAUGUAGAUCCCGCCACGACACUUUGCUUGCAACUGCACCAGCUUACUGCCCCACCAUUCAAAAUAUACACGUAUCCGGUUUGUGACUUAAGAGUCAUCCAGAUCUGUGUCGAAGCUAGCACCGACGUAACCCUUCACGACGAGCUCUUCGUCACCUCCAUAAACGAGAAACAUUUCCUUAGUCCUUUUCAGGUACUUCAGGAUAUUCUUGACCGCUGUCCAGUGUUCCUUGCGGGGAUUACUUUGGUACCUUCCUACCAAACUUACGGCAAGGUUUACAUCAGGUCUGGUACACAGCAUGGCAUACAUAAUAGAACCUAUGGCUGAGGCAUAGGGGAUGACGCUCAUCUCUUCUAUAUCUACUGCCGUGGUCGGACAUUGAGCUGAGCUCAAUUUUGUACCUUGCAACACAGGCAAGAACCCCUUCUUGGAUUGAUCCAUAUUGAACUUCUUCAAUAUCUUAUCAAGGUAUGUGCUUUGUGAAAGACCUAUGAGGCGUCUCGAUCUAUCUCUAUAGAUUUUGAUGCCUAAUAUAUAAGCAGCUUCUCCAAGGUCCUUCAUUGAAAAACUUUUAUUCAAGUAGGCCUUGAUGCUGUCCAAGAGUUCUAUAUCAUUUCCCAUCAACAGUAUGUCAUCUACAUAUAAUAUGAGAAAUGCUACAGAGCUCCCACUCACUUUCUUGUAAACGCAGGCUUCUCCAUAAGUCUGUGUAAACCCAAACGCUUUGAUCAUCUCAUCAAAGCGAAUGUUCCAACUCCGAGAUGCUUGCACCAGCCCAUAAAUCGAGCGUUGGAGCUUGCACACUUUGUCAGCAUUCUUAGGAUCGACAAAACCUUCUGGCUGUAUCAUAUACAAUUCUUCCUUAAGGAAACCAUUAAGGAAUGCCGUUUUGACGUCCAUUUGCCAUAUUUCGUAAUCAUAGAAUGCGGCAAUUGCUAACAUGAUUCGGACGGACUUCAGCUUUGCUACCGGUGAGAAAGUCUCAUCGCAGUCAACCCCUUGAACUUGUCGAUAACCCUUAGCGACAAGCCGAGCUUUAUAGAUGGUCACAUUACCAUCCGCGUCUGUCUUCUUCUUAAAGAUCCAUUUAUUUUCUAUGGCUCGCCGCUCAACGGGCAAGUCAGUCAAAGUCCAUACUUUGUUUUUCAUACAUGGAUCCUAUCUCGGAUUUCAUGGCUUCCAGCCAUUUGUCGGAAUCCGGGCCCGCCAUCGCUUCUUCAUAGUUCGAAGGUUCACCGUUGUCUAACAGCAUGAUUUCCAAAACAGGGUUGCCGUACCACUCUGGUGCGGAACGUGUCCUUGUGGACCUUCGAAUUUCAGUAGGGGCUUGAUCAGAAGUAUCUUGAUCAUUUUCAUUAACUUCCUCUCUAGUCGGUGCAGGCACCUCAGGAACAUUUUCUUGAGUUGCGCCAUUUUCCGGUUCAAGAGGUAAUACUUCAUCAAGCUCUACUUUCCUCCCACUUACUUCUUUCGAGAGAAACUCUUUCUCCAGAAAGGACCCAUUCUUGGCAACAAAGAUCUUGCCUUCAGAUCUGAGGUAGAAGGUGUACCCAAUAGUUUCUUUUGGGUAUCCUAUGAAGACGCAUUUUUCCGACUUGGGUUCGAGCUUUUCAGGUUGAAGUUUCUUGACAUAAGCAUCGCAUCCCCAAACUUUUAGAAACGACAGCUUAGGUUUCUUCCCAAACCAUAAUUCAUACGGUGUCGUCUCAACGGAUUUCGACGGUGCCCUAUUUAAAGUGAAUGCGGCAGUCUCUAAAGCAUAGCUCCAAAAAGAAAGCGGUAAAUCGGUAAGAGACAUCAUAGAUCGCACCAUAUCUAACAGAGUGCGAUUACGACGUUCGGACACACCAUUACGCUGAGGUGUUCCAGGCGGCGUGAGUUGUGAAACUAUUCCACAUUUUCUUAAGUGUGCCCCAAACUCGUGACUCAAGUAUUCUCCUCCACGAUCUGAUCGUAGAAACUUGAUUUUCCUGUCAUGUUGAUUUUCAACCUCACUCUGAAAUUCCUUGAACUUUUCAAAGGUUUCAGACUUGUGUUUCAUUAAGUAGAUAUACCCAUACCUACUUAAAUCAUCAGUGAGGGUGAGAACAUAACGAUAGCCACCGCGAGCCUCAACACUCAUCGGACCGCACACAUCAGUAUGUAUGAUUUCCAAUAAGUCGGUUGCUCGCUCCAUUGUUCCUGAGAACGGAGUCUUGGUCAUUUUACCCAUAAGGCAUGGUUCGCACGUGUCAAAUGAUUCAUAAUCAAGAGACUCUAAAAGUCCAUCUGCAUGGAGCUUCUUCAUGCGUUUGACACCUAUGUGACCAAGGCGGCAGUGCCACAAGUAUGUGGGACUAUCAUUAUCAACCUUACUUCUUUUGGUACUCACAUUAUGAACAUGUGUAGCAUCACGUUCGAGAUUCAUAAAGAAUAAACCAUUCACCAUAGGAGCAUGACCAUAAAACAUAUCUCUCAUAAAAAUGGAACAACCAUUAUUCUCAGAUUUAAAAGAGUAGCCAUCUCGAAUUAAACGAGAUCCCAAUACAAUGUUCAUGCUCAAAGCUGGCACUAAAUAACAAUUAUUAAGGUUUAAAACUAAUCCCGAAGGGAGAUGCAGGGGUAGCGUGUCGACGGCGAUCACAUUGACCUUGGAACCAUUCCCGACGCGCAUCGUCACCUCGUCCUUUGCCAGUUUCCGCUUAUUCCGCAGCCCCUGCUUUGAGUUACAAAUGUGAGCAACUGCACCGGUAUCAAAUACCCAGGAGCCACUACGGGCACUAGUAAGGUACACGUCAAUUACAUGUAUAUCACAUAUACCUUUUGUUUUGCCGGCCUUCUUAUCCGCUAAGUACUUAGGGCAGUUCCGCUUCCAGUGACCGCUUCCCUUGCAAUAAAAGCACUCAGUCUCGGGCUUGGGUCCAUUCUUUGGCUUCUUCCCGGCAGCUUGCUUGCCGGGCGCGGCAACCUCCUUGCCGUCCUUCUUGAAGUUCUUUUUACCCUUGCCUUUCUUGAACUUAGUGGUUUUAUUGACCAUCAACACUUGAUGUUCCUUCCUGACUUCUACCUCUGCUGAUUUCAGCAUAGCAAAUAAUUCAGGAAUGGUCUUUUCCAUCCCCUGCAUAUUGAAGUUCAUCACAAAGCUCUUGUAGCUUGGUGGAAGCGACUGGAGGAUUCUGUCAAUGACCGCAUCCUCCGGGAGAUUAACUCCCAGCUGAGUCAAGCGGUUAUGCAACCCAGACAUAGUGAGUAUGUGCUCACUGACAGAACUGUUUUCCUCCAUCUUACAGCUGAAGAAUUUGUCGGAGACUUCAUAUCUCUCGACCCGGGCAUGAGCUUGGAAAACCAUUUUCAGCUCUUCGAACAUCUCAUAUGCUCCAUGUCUCUCAAAACGCUUUUGGAGCCCCGGCUCUAGGCUGUAAAGCAUGCCGCACUGAACGAGGGAGUAGUCAUCGAAACGUGCCUGCCAAGCGUUCAUAACAUCUUGUUCUGCAGGGAGAACGGGUGCGUCACCAAGCGGUGCUUGUAGGACAUAAUCUUUCUUGGCAGCUAUGAGGAUGAUCCUCAGGUUCCGGACCCAGUCCGUAUAGUUGCUGCCAUCGUCUUUCAGCUUAGUUUUCUCUAGGAACGUGUUGAAGUUGAGGACUACGUUGGCCAUUUGAUCUACAAGACAUAUUGCAAAGAUUUUAGACUAAGUUCAUGAUAAUUAAGUUCAACUAAUCAAAUUAUUAGUGAACUCCCACUUAGAUUAGACAUCCCUCUAGUCAUCUAAGUAUUACAUGAUCCGAGUUAAACUAGACCGUGUCCGAUCAUCACGUGAGACGGACUAGUCAACAUCGGUGAACAUCUUCAUGUUGAUCGUAUCUUCUAUACGACUCAUGCUCGACCUUUCGGUCUUCUGUGUUCCGAGGUCAUGUCUGUACAUGCUAGGCUCGUCAAGUCAAUCUAAGUGUUUGCAUGUGUAAAUCUGUCUUACACCCGUUGUAUGUGAACGUCUGAAUAAAACACCCGAUCAUCACGUGGUGUUUUGAAACAGCGAAAUGUCGCAACGGUGCACAGUUAGGGGGAACACUUCUUGAAAUUAGUAUGAGGGAUCACCUUAUUUACUACCGUCGUUCUAAGUAAACAAGAUGCAAAACAUGAUAAACAUCACAUGCAAUCAAAUAAUAAACGUGACAUGAUAUGGCCAAUAUCACAUAGCUCCUUUGAUCUCCAUCUUGGGGCUCCAUGAUCAUCUUGUCACCGGCUUGACACCAUGAUCUCCAUCAUCAUGAUCUCCAUCAUCGUGUCUCCAUGAAGUUGCUCGCCAACUAUUACUUCUACUACUAUGGCUAACGCGUUUAGCAAUAAAGUAAAGUAAUUUACAUGGCGUUUCUUGAUGACACGCAGGUCAUAUAAAAGAAUAAAGACAACUCCUAUGGCUCCUGCCGGUUGUCAUACUCAUUGACAUGCAAGUCGUGAAUCCUAUUACAAUAGCAUGAACAUCUCAUACAUCACAUAUAGAUCAUUCAUCAUUCAUCACAACUUUGGCCAUAUCAUAUCACAAACCACUUGCUGCAAAAACAAGUUAGACGUCCUCUAAUUGUUGUUGCAAGUUUUACGUGGCUGAAUUAGGGUUCUAGCAAGAACGUUUUCUUACCUACGUUAAAGCCACAACGUGAUUUGUCAACUUCUAUUUACCCUUCAUAAGGACCCUGUUCAUCGAUUCCGCUCCAACUAAAGUAGGAGAGACAGACACCCGCCAGCCACCUUAUGCAACUAGUGCAUGUUAGUCGGUGGAACCGGUCUCACGUAAGCGUGCGUGUAAGGUUGGUCCGGGCCGCUUCAUCCCACAAUACCGCUGAAGCAAGAAAGGACUAGUAACGGCAAGAAAGUUGACAAAUCGACGCCCACAACAAAUUGUGUUCUACUCGCGCAAGAAGAACUACGCAUAGACCUAGCUCAUGAUGCCACUGUUGGGGAACGUUGCAGAAAACAAAAAAUUUCCUACUCGUUUCACCAAGAUCAUCUAGGAGUUCAUCUAGCAACGAGUGAUUAGAUGCAUCUACAUACCUUUGUAGAUCGCGCACGGAAGCGUUCAAAAGAACGGUGAUGAUGUAGUCGUACUCGACGUGAUCCAAAUCACCGAUGACCAGCGCCGAACGGACGGCACCUCCGCGUUUAACACACGUACGGGACGGGAGACGUCUCCUCCUUCUUGAUCCAGCAAGGGGGAAGGAGAGGUUGAUGAAGAUCCAGCAGCACGACGGCGUGGUGGUGGAUGCAGGGCGUCACAGCAGCAGGGCUUCGCCGAGACUACGAGGGAGAGACGUAACGGGGGGAGGUGGAGGCGCCAGGGGCUGGUGUAUGAAGUCCCUCCUCUCCCCCACUAUAUAUAGGGGUGCCAGGGGGGGCUGGUGUGCAGCCUAGGAGAUCUGAUCUCCUAGGUGCGGCGGCCAGGGGAGGGUUUCCCUCCCCCCCAAGGCACCUCGGGGUGCCUUCCACCACUUGGACUCCUCCUUGGUGGAACCCUAGGCGCAUGGGCCUAUAGGGGCUGGUGCCCUUGGCCCAUCUAGGCCAAGGCGCACCCCCUACAGCCCAUGUGGCCCCCCGGGACAGGUGGCCCCACCCGGUGGACCCCCGGGACCCUUCCGGUGGUCCCGGUACAAUACCGAUAACCCCGAAACUUGCCCCGAUGCCCGAAAUAGCACUUCCUAUAUAUAAUUCUUUACCUCCGGACCAUUCCGGAACUCCUCGUGACGUCCGGGAUCUCAUCCGGGACUCCGAACAACAUUCGGGUUUCUGCAUAUACAUAUCUUCAUAACCCUAGCGUCACCGAACCUUAAGUGUGUAGACCCUACGGGUUCGGGAGACAAGCAGACAUGACCGAGACGACUCUCCGGUCAAUAACCAACAGCGGGAUCUGGAUACCCAUGUUGGCUCCCACAUGCUCCACGAUGAUCUCAUCGGAUGAACCACGAUGUCGAGGAUUCUAUCAACCCCGUACGCUAUUCCCUUUGUCUAUCGAUAUGUUACUUGCCCGAGAUUCGAUCGUCGGUAUCCCAAUACCUCAUUCAAUCUCGUUACCGGCAAGUCACUUUACUCGUACCGUAAUGCAUGAUCCUGUGACCAGACACUUGGUCACUCUGAGCUCAUUAUGAUGAUGCAUUACCGAGUGGGCCCAGUGAUACCUCUCCGUCAUACGGAGUGACAAAUCCCAGUCUUGAUCCAUGUCACCCAACAGACACUUUCGGAGAUACCCGUAGUCUACCUUUAUAGUCACCCAGUUACGUUGUGACGUUUGGCAUAUCCAAAGCACUCCUACGGUAUCCGGGAGUUACACGAUCUCAUGGUCUAAGGAAAAGAUACUUGACAUUGGAAAACUCUAGCAAACGAACUAUACGAUCUUGUGCUAUGUUUAGGAUUGGGUCUUGUCCAUCACAUCAUUCUCCUGAUGAUGUGAUCUCGUUAUCAAUGACAUCCAGUGUCCAUAGUCAGGAAACCAUGACUAUCUGUUGAUCAACGAGCUAGUCAACUAGAGGCUCACUAGGGACAUGUUGGUGUCUGUUAUUCACACAUGUAUUACGAUUUCCGGAUAACACAAUUAUAGCAUGAAUAAAGACAAUUAUCAUGAACAAGGAAAUAUAAUAAUAAUGCUUUUAUUAUUGCCUCUAGGGCAUAUUUCCAACAUCCUUCAACAUCUACAUCAACCAAGCCUUCUCCAAGCAAUGACGACAAGUCAAGUUACAAGAAACCUUCGUCAAGUUCAAGUCGUCUUCUUCCUAAUACAAGCAAGCCGCGUGCUUCAUCAUCUACUCCAACCGAGGAAACCAUCAAGACAAGCUCCUUCAAGUGUUUCACUUGCGGCAGCCAAGGCCACAAGUCCUAUGAAUGCACAAACAAGCGCACCAUGAUCCUCAACGAUGAUGGCACAUAUGACUCCAUGAGUGAUGAGGAGAUGGAAGCUCUUGAGCAAGUGGCCAUGCACCGGCGCGUGAACGAAGAUGAAGAUGAUCAAUUCUUUUGUGAUGAGGAUUUGAGCCCCGCUCUCGUUGUCUCCAAAGUCUUGACACUUCAACAUCAACAAGAAGAAGACCAAAGAUGCCACAUCUUCCACACCAAGGCCGGCAUCAAUGGAAGGUCCGUCAAGGUCAUCAUCGAUGGAGGUAGUUGUCACAACUUGACAAGUGAAGAAUUAUGUUCCAAGCUUCAAUUGGUCAAGAGGAAGCACCAGCACCCCUACAAGGUUCAAUGGCUAAGUGACUCCGACACUAUACGAGUCGAGCAUACGGUCCAAGUAUCCUUCAAAAUUGGUGCUUAUGAAGACACUUUGGAGUGUGAUGUGGUCCCAAUGACCGUUUGCCACCUACUUCUUGGUCGACCAUGGCAAUUCAACCGUGGUGUCAUCCACAAUGGGCGCACCAAUCACUAUAGCUUCAAAAUGAAGGGGAAGGAAUAUGUGCUACGACCUAUGUCUCCUAGUCAAGUAAUAGCCGACAAGCAAGCCACCAAUCAUGGAGAGAAGAGUGAAAAAGUGACACACCCAAAAGUGAGUGAGAGCCACAAGCCAAAUUUGAGCGCCUCUUCGCCUAGAGAGAAAAACCUCAUCCUAUUUGCCACCAAAAGUGAGAUAAGAGAAGUGUGUAAGAACCCAUCGAGUGUGAUGCACUUCGUCCUUGUGUGCAAAGAUGGAGAGCCAACAACUAACACCUCUCACGAGCUACCUUUAGUGUUUCAAUCUCUUUUGCAGGAAUUAAAGAUGUUUUCCCUGAUGAGCUACCUCCGGGUCUACCUCCACUACGAGGCAUUGAGCAUCGAAUCGACCUCAUCCCCGGAGCGCCACUUCCAAACAAAGCUCCAUACCGUGUCAAUCCCGAAGAAACCAAGGAGAUUCAACGGCAAGUACAACAACUCAUCGACAACGGUCAUGUACGUGAAAGCUUAAGCCCAUGUGCCGUUCCCGUUAUACUUGUGCCCAAACCCGAUGGAAGUUUCUGCUUGUGUUCCGAUUGCAGACCCAUAAAUGCCAUUACCGUUCGAUAUAGGCAUCCCAUUCCUCGCUUAGACGAUAUGCUUGAUGAACUUAGUGGAGCCAACUUUUUCUCAAAAAUUGAUCUUAAAAGUGGCUAUUAUCAAAUCCGCAUUCAAGAAGGUGAUGAAUGGAAAACCGCUUUCAAAACAAAAUUUGGCUUAUAUGAGUGGUUAGUGAUGCCUAUGGGUUUGUCGGAAGCACCCGGAACUUUCGUGCGUCUUAUGCAUCAUGUGCUUAGACCUUACAUUGGAGUCUUCGUUAUGGUUUACUUUGAUGAUAUCCUUGUGUUUAGCAAAACCAUGAAAGAGCACAUUGAUCAUGUUAAAUCUGUGUUGCAAACCCUCCGCAAGGAAAGCCUUUAUGCAAACUUGAAAAAAUGCACUUUUGGCGUUGACAAAGUGGUUUUCUUGGGUUUUGUUGUCUCUUCCAAGGGUUUCCAUGUUGAUGAAACUAAGAUUAUGACAAUUAAAACUUGGCCCCAACCCACCAAUUUGCAACAAGUGCGUAGUUUUCUCGGUCUUACAGGAUUUUAUCGCCGCUUUGUGAAAAACUUUAGCACAAUUGCCGCUCCUUUACAUGCUUUGAGUAAGAAGAAUGCUUCUUUUGUUUGGGGAUCUUUGCAAUCCACCGCUUUUGAUGAGCUCAAGUCUUUGCUUACUCAUGCUCCGAUUCUUGCUUUGCCCAACUUUGAGAAAACUUUUGAGGUUCAUUGUGAUGCAAGUGGUACCGGAAUUGGUGGAGUUUUGAUGCAAGAAAAACGAGCCAUUGCUUAUUUUAGUGAAAAACUCUCCGGUGCUCAAAUUAACUACCCCAUCUAUGACAAAGAAUUAUAUGCUUUAGUACGUGUGCUACAUGUUUGGGAACAUUACCUUAGACCUCAUGAAUUUGUCAUCCAUACCGAUCAUGAAACGCUUAAGUACUUCAAAGGUCAAACUAAGUUGAACAAGCGUCAUGCCAAAUGGAGUGAAUUUAUUGAAUCUUUCCCAUAUGUGAUCAAGUACAUUAAGGGUAAAGAAAAUGUUGUUGCGGAUGCACUUUCACGCAUAUGCACCCUUGUCACUCAACUUGAGUUGAAUGUUAUUGGUUUUGAGCAUAUAAAAGACUUGUAUGAGCAUGAUCCUUAUUUUGCUACUCCUUAUGCUAAGUGUUUGACACACACGUCUUGGGAACGAUACUACAUAAAGGAUGAUUAUCUUAUGAGAGCUAACAAACUUUGCAUUCCCGAGUCUUCUCUUCGUUUACUCCUUUUGCAAGAGGCUCAUGGAGGCGGACUCAUGGGACACUUUGGACACGACAAGACAUUCGCCACACUCUCCAAGAACUACUUUUGGCCCAAGAUGUUCCGUGACGUCUCACGCUUCACCAACUGGUGCUCUACAUGUCGCAAAGCUAAGUCUAAAGCUCAAUCCCAUGGUCUUUACAUGCCACUUCCCAUUCCUUAUCAACCUUGGGAAGACAUUAGCAUGGAUUUUAUACUUGGUUUGCCUAGAACUCAAAAUGGCAAGGAUUCCAUCUUUGUUGUUGUGGACAGAUUUUCUAAGAUGGCACAUUUCAUUCCUUGCAACAAGAUAGACGAUGCUUCACAUAUUGCCAAUCUAUUUAAGGGAAAUCUUGCGACUUCAUGGAGUGCCAAAGACAAUUGUCUUGGACCGCGACGUCAAGUUCUUGAGUUACUUUUGGAAGACCCUAUGCGCCAAGCUCGGCAUCAAGCUAUUGUUCUCUUCGGCAUACCAUCCUCAAAUCGACGGCCAAACGGAGGUGACGAACCGCACACUAUCCACUCUACUUUGUGUGUUGAUCAAGAGGAACAUAAAGGAGUGGGAGGCGUGCCUACCAAUCGCCGAGUAUGCCUACAACCCUGCAAGACAUUCGACGACCGGCAAGUCCCGUUUUGAGGUCGUCUACGGCUUCAACCCGUUGUCCCCAUUGGACAUUCUACCUCUUCCUCUACAAGAGCGCACCAACCUCGACGCAAGUGCCCAUGCAAGCUACAUCAAGAAGAUGCAUGAAGAUACAAGGCACACCAUCGAGCGCCAAGUACAACGCCUCGCGACCAAGCUCAACGUCAACAAGCAUCCCAUGAUAUUCAACAUUGGAGACCUAGUGUGGCUACAUCUGCACAAGGACCGCUUCCCCAACGAACGCAAGUCCAAGCUUCCCCCUCGCGCCGAUGGACCUUUCAAGGUGCUAGCACGCUACAACAACAAUGCUUACAAGAUCGAUCUCCCACGCGACAAGUACAACGUGAGCGACAUCUUUAACGUCUCCGAUCUCUCCCCAUACCAUGGUGAUGAGGAUUUCGAUGCGAGGUCGGAUCUUUCACAAGGAGGGGGAGAUGAUGCGGAGCAUCCUUCGGUCAUCCCCAUGGACCUUCCGUCGCCUCACCAAGCACCAAGAGAACCCAUGACACGAGCACGAGCUAAGGCUAUUGAAGAUAAGGUGAACUCGCUCCUCUCCGAACUUCCUCUUCCUACUCACGAGACAUGGCUACUACCUCAUUCGGAAACUCUGUGUGUGAUCAGGUGCCUGGAAGCGAGCCACGGAACAGCUACAUACAAGAGCCACGACGGCAAGGACCCCAAGCAUGAGGGACAAGAAGAAGAGCUGCCGUGGAAGCUAUAGGUGUCGGAUGACCGACCCAGUCCGGACGUUCGACGAGUGCCAGGACAUGGACGAUCGAGCUUUCCGGACGUCCGGUACUUCACCACCCGGACCAAAUCUACGGACAUCUGAAGCGGACCGGACGACAAGCAACCGAGCCGAAUCUACGGAAGACUGACGACCUCCGGACGUCCGGACCAUCACGAAGCUCCGGACGACCGACCCCCUCUGGACGUCCGACGCGCCCACGACAGAGCUGAUUCUACGGACGCCCGAGCCUGACCGGACGUCCGGACCGUCCCGAGCCUCCGGACGUCUGACGCCUUCCGGACGACCGGCACCUGAGUGACCGCACCUGCGGGCUGGAGCCCUUGUACCCCUUCGCUUUGACUUCCAUUUGCACUACGACUAUAAAUAGGUCGCCCCCACCUCCUAGUUAGGGUUAGCAUUGGUUUAGCUCAUAUUUGUGUGAGAGCCUUGCUCAUCCACUUGGAUACUUCUCCUCGGAGUUCACGGCCUCUUCGGAGAAGAUCCCCCAAGCGGAUUCAAGACCCCUUUCAAGGGAAGACCAUCAAGACCUCCGUACGGAGAAGAAGGGUUCCUUUGUAUCCUUACCUUUGUUGACUUUGGAUCUCGUGUAUCUCUUUGUGUUCGGUGAUCUAGCACUCGUGUGAUUGAUCUCUUAUCAGUUGAGUGUUUCUCUCGUUUUCCCCCGUGAUUCUCUUCGUUUUCUUCCGCUCAUUCUUCUUGUCUCCCCAUAGGAUCCACUCCAAAUGUGAAAGAUCGGCACCUAGGGUUCCGCCCUACAUCAAUCGUCGUUCUAAAUUUGCUCCUAAAUCUCAUGAAGGUUUCUUACUUGGUUAUGGCUCAAACUCUCACACUUACCGUGUCUACAAUAAUUUCACCCGAAAGGUUGAAGAGACGGUAGAUGUGAAGUUUGAUGAAUCUAACGGCUCACAAGUAUAGCAAUUGCCAAUUGAUGUAGGAUACGAAGACCCUUCGGAAGCAAUCCAAGACUUGUCUAUUGGCAAGAUUCGUCCAAUGGAGGUGAAGGAGAGUACCUCGUCUGUCCAAGUGGAAGCUUCCACCUCACGACAAGGUGAACCAAGAGUUGAUAUGGAAGCAUCCACAAGUGGGACAAACCAAGACGAAGAAAAGGAGGAAGUACACCAAGAUGAACCUCAACAACCUCCUUCUCCACCACGACAAGAGAACACAACGUCAACAAUGAAGAAGGCCAAGAAGAAGAACAAGAUGAAGAAGAUGUUCCACCAAGAUCCAAGCAAAAUCUUUCACGAGUUCGAGCAAGAGUCCCCAAAGACCAUCCCGUCGAGCAAAUCUACAAUGAUAUCCAAACCGGGAGAAUCACUCGCUCUAAAACUCGUUUGGCUAACUUUUGUGAACAUUAUUCAUUCAUCUCUAGCAUUGAACCUAUGAAGGUUGAAGAAGCAUUGGAUGAUCCGGAUUGGAUAAACGCCAUGCACAAAGAGCUACACAACUUUGAGAGAAAUCAAGUUUGGACAUUGGUUGAGAAGCCCGACGACAACCACAAUAUCAUUGGUACCAAAUGGGGUUUCGGAACAAGCAAGGUGAAGAUGGACAAGUGCUUCACAACAAAGCACGUCUCGUCGCCCAAGGCUACACUCAAGUCAAAGGUAUGGACUAUGGUGAGACAUAUGCCCCCGUUGCUAGACUUGAGUCCAUUCGCAUCUUACUUGCCUAUGCUAAUCACCAUGAUAUCACCUUGUACCAAAUGGACAUUAAAAGUGCCUUUUUAAAUGGUGAAAUAGAGGAGGAAGUUUAUGUUAAGCAACCUCCCGGUUUUGUCAAUCCUAAGAAACCUAAUCAUGUUUACAAACUUCACAAAGCUCUUUACGGUCUUAAACAAGCUCCUAGAGCGUGGUAUAAAUGCUUGACCAAGUUCCUUAUCGAAAAAGGCUUUGAAAUUGGAAAAAUUGAUUCUACUCUUUUUACUAAAAGGGUUAAUGGAGAAAUAUUUGUGUGUCAAAUCUAUAUUGAUGAUAUUAUAUUUGGUUCGACUAACCCUCACUUUAGUGAAAAGUUUGGAAAGCUAAUGUCGGAGAAGUUUGAGAUGUCGAUGAUGAGUGAACUCAAAUUCUUUCUCGGUUUGCAAAUCAAGAAAACUAAGGAAGGUACCUUUGUAUCUCAAACAAAGUACACCAAGGACUUAUUCAAGAAGUUCAAUAUGCAAUAAUGUAAAGGUAUGACUACACCCAUGCCUACUAGUGGACAUCUUGAUUUGACCAAAGAUAGUGAACCGGUUGAUCAAAAGGUUUACCGAUCCAUGAUUGGUUCAUUACUAUAUCUAUGUGCCUCUCGUCCCGAUAUUAUGCUAAGUGUGUGCAUGUGUGCACGAUAUCAAGCUGCUCCUAAACAAUGUCAUCUUAAGGCUGUGAAAAGGAUAGUGAGAUACUUAAUUCAUACACCAAAUUUUGGCAUUUGGUAUCCGAAGAGGGCCUCCUUUAAUCUUGUUGGCUACUAUGACUCGGACUAUGCUGGUGACAAGGUUGAUAGAAAGUCCACUUUGGGUACUUGUCAAUUUCUUGGUAGAUCUCUUGUGUCUUGGUCCUUGUCGGUGUCAAAAUCGGCGGAUCUCGGGUAGGGGGUCCCGAACUGUGCGUCUAGGCGGAUGGUAACAGGAGGCAAGGGACACGAUGUUUUUACCCAGGUUCGGGCCCUCUCGGUGGAGGUAAAACCCUAUUCUUGCUUGAUUAAUAUUGAUGGUAUGGGUAAUACAAAAGUUGAUCUACCACGAGAUCAAAGAGGCUAAACCCUAGAAGCUAGCCUAUGGUAUGAUUGUUGUUCGUCCUACGGACUAAACCUCUCUGGUUUAUAUAGACACCGGAGAGGGCUAGGGUUACACAGAGUCGGUUACAAUGGGAGGAGAUCUUCAUAUCGUAUCGCCAAGCUUGUCUUCCACGCCAAGGAAAGUCCCAUCCAGACACGGGACAAAGUCUUCAAUCUUGUAUCUUCAUAGUCCGGGAGUCCGGCCAAAGGUCAUAGUCCGGCCAUCCGGACACCCCCUAAUCCAAGACUCCCUCAGUAACCCCUGAACCAGGCUUCAAUGACGACGAGUCCGGCGCGCAAAUUGUCUUCGGCAUUGCAAGGCGGGUUCCUCCUCCGAAUACUUCAUAGAUGAUGUUGAACACAAGGAUAGUGUCCGGCUCUGCAAAAAUAAGUUCCACAUACCGUCGUAGAGAGAAUAAUUCCUGGACAAAUCUAAUAUGCGGACGUAUUCCACAGCGUGACAUCACGCCACGGCCAAGCCUUUAUUCGAAUCAUUUUACUGUUCCACCUCAGCGCGUUUAGCGAGGCGGUUUCCUUGGCACGUCUUGUCAAAGUAGAGAUCGUGUCCCCUUAUUCCGGGAUUCUCAUCAAUACGGGCAUGGGUAACCCAACCGUGCCUUUUGGUAUGACUCUCUAAUUGAAAGCGAGUCCCAAACGGUUACGGGGAGGGCUCUUGGUAUUCAACUCCUUUAUAAAGAGACCAAGGCUCGACUCCCUUUUCUUUCAAUCCAAUCGAAUCCGCCCCUCACCUCGAGUUCCAACACUCAAAGCUUCUAGUUUUAGGCGCUUCAGACCUUCCAUGAUGUCCGGCUCCGACCUUCAAGGCCAGUGGGUGCCUUCCUCCGUUACGGAAGAAGACGUGCGAAAGCUGAGAGAUGCCAGGUAUCUAACUGGUGAAAUCUCGCAUAGGCUGCCUGCUCAAGGGCAGGCCAUUCCCUCUCCCCAGCCCGGCGAAAGCAUGGUGUUCACAUCUCACUUCCUUCGGGGGCUAGGAUUCCCGAUUGAUCCCUUCGUGAGGGGGUUGAUGUUCUAUUACGGGCUGGAAUUCCACGACUUAGCUCCGGAGUCCAUCCUCCAAAUUUCAUCAUUCAUUGUCGUGUGUGAGGCCUUCCUCCAUAUCACUCCUCACUUCGGAUUGUGGCUUAGAACCUUCAAGGUGGAGCCGAAGAUGAUCGAGGGGCAGCACGCUGACUGCGGAGGAGCUAUCAUAAGCAAGAUAGUCGGCGCCCCAUGGCCCGAGGGCACUUUCCAAGAGGAGUUUAGCUUAUGGCAACAAGACUGGUUUUACAUCACAGCCCCUAGGGGCACCACAUGGGUGGCGCCACCUGCUUUUCGCUCGGGUACCCCACCACGGUGAGCAUCAUGGGUCAAUGAAGGGCUUAUCUGGGGGUCGUCCGAAGACGUGCCCCUACUGCAGGACCGCAUUCGAGAUCUCCUAGAAAGAGAUAUUAACUUGACCGUCGUGGCGCAAGUUAUGCUGAUUCGCCGCAUGCUGCCCUGCAAACGUCGCCCUCUCCGCCUGUGGGAAUUUAAUCCGGAGGGACCGCGAGUCCUCCAACAUUUCAUGGGCGCGACGCCCGUGGAGAUGUACAAAUUGUUCUUCGGACCACAAGCAAGGUGUCUGGACUUGUCCGAGGACGCAGGUCUGAGCUGCAAUCGUCAGGAUGCUAAGGUAAGUAGCCCCGUAUUUGGACACACCAUCCGCAUUUUCAUCAUAAAGUGGCCCUUUAACAGAGCUAUCCUUUGAAUAGGAGUGGAUAGUGUAGGCAAAGCUUAUCAGGUGUCUAGCCCCCCUGCCCGAGACCGCGCCGGAUCCCGUGUUAACCAGGAUGCUGCAGAUUAUGCUUUCGGCAAAGGGUGAAGAGGGGAACCAAGGAGCUACCGCCUCCACGAAGGAGGUUGUAAGGAAGGAAGGAAUCGAGAAUUCCCCCAACCUGGGAAAGAAAAGGAGCGCCUCUGAAGACCCGGAGGGGAUGACCUCGAAACGGGGGAAGAAAUCUUUGUCAGAGGAUCCGGCGCCGGAGACUGCCCCGGCCGCAUUGCGCCCUCAAGGGCAUCAACUUUCCUCCGAGCUGUAAGUAAAGAGAGGGGUUCAAAAAUUAGUGGCAUCCCUGUUUUAUUUCUGAGGAAGAUAACCAAAAUAUUACCUUGCAGUUCGGAUCUCAACCCUUCUCAGCAGAGCUCGUCUUCAGGGGAUCUUCGUUCGGAGAAGAUGGAGAGCGAAACGCCUCCCCUAGCUGCACCGACUUACGAGGCAGGCGACCUCGAGGUGUCGUCCCGGCGGGUUUCUCCAAGUCUGGAUCCUAAAAAAGGUCGUCGGGCUAGUCCGGUGCCCUCUGGUGCGCGGUCGGAGAGGCUGAGGGAUCUGCUCGGGCGAGCGUCCGUCUCAGAAGAACACCAUAUGUUGAUGAACACGGUGAUAGGAAGGAUUGCAUCCGUGGAAAGUGGAUUGUACGAGGCCGCCAGGAGUUUACUGACAGGCUUUGAGGUACGUGAAAAGGUGUACCUUUUGAUAGAGCUGCAUAUAUAAAAUGCGCCCUGUAUAAAUAGUAGCCCCUGAGACUCUGUGUGUUGUCAAGAGUGAUGGCGCACAGAGGAUCAAAACCCCAGGUAUAAAAUGUCACCUUUUUUAUGAAGGUGGCGAGGCGUUUGGUGGCUAGCCGGACUGAUGAAUCUGCCGAGCUAAAGCGACAACUUGACGUGGCGGAUGCCGACAUCGCGCUUGUAAAUAAGCGGCUAGACGAGGCACAAGGUAUGCUCCACAGAUAUCUGAUAGGGGGAGUUCGAUGCUCGUGCCUUACAAUAUAUGUGCUUACUGCAGAUAGUGCUGCUGCCGUGGAGAACCUUCGGGCGGAACUUGCCCGAGCCAAGGAGCAAGCAAGGAAAAGUAAUGCGGUUGCCGUUAAGGCGGCUGAGGAGCUGAAAGCCGAACAGGCUGCUCACUGCCAGAGUAAGAAGGUAAUAACCGAGAUGGCUAUAAAAUUGAAGGAUCCUGUCGACCGCUAUAAAUUUCUCGAACAAGAAGAAAGGGCAUCUCAGAAGGACCUUGAGAAGAUCACUGCCGAGGCCAAGGAUACUCGCUCUGCAAUGAGAGCUAUGAAGGAGGAGUUGCGUCAGGCCGGAGAUAUCACGGCUGGAAAGCCCUAUAUGCUGCGGAUGAAGUUCGAGGAUCCUAGGUAUGCUCCAUUAGACCGGCAGUGGAGUGCAGAAAAUACUUAUCUGGAUUUGGCAGCGAGUGCGGCGGACGCAACCGAACACUUCCGAGGUCGAGGUGACCAUAAAUUGGAAGAACUUUUUUGGUCGCAAUUCCACAAUCCAGAACGCCCACUUUCGGUAUCCGACUGUUUGGCCGCCUUUGCGGAGCUGAACAGGUUAUCCGGACUCGCCAUGAAGUAUGUCGCGAGUCGUUUGUGGCCGGGGGAGCUAGAGCCGAAGAGUUAUUUUGGAUUGGUGCAGCAGAUCCUUGGUUCUGUGUCGCAUGUUGAUGCAAUGAAGAGGUCGGCGUGCAUAGAGGGUGCACAAAUGGCUCUUGCCCGUGUCAAGACAUACUGGGCGGAUAUGAAGACCAGUGUUGUCGCAUCCCAGGAUUCGGACAAAGGUCGGGUACCUGCCAGGCACUACUUUGAGGAAGUUCUUUCGGGCGCUCGUUUAAUAGAAGCGCAGUGCUCGAAGGAUGUUGUGUUCGAAUAGCAGGUGCUAUUGUAAAAGAAAUAUUUUGAUAGAAUAUAAAAGCUUUUUAUACGUGUGCUUGCAAGAAUUAUAAUACCUCUUGUGCGGCCGUUAAUGUAUAUGUGUAUAUAACCUGAAAGAUGGCAGUCGUUGGCUUCAGCCCCCACGCAUAUAAUGCGGGGGUGUUCGCAAAAAAUGCGCCUUUUCACACUUAAUCCAACGUCUUGGUCCUGCAAAGGAGGUGAUAGCGCGACGAACUAGGCAACCGGACUAUAAUGCUUUAUCACUUUCACUUAGCCAUAGGAGUUUGACAUCGGGGCUACUCAAUAGCCCCUAAAGGCACCGCGCUCACCCGAAUUCGGGGCGCGUGUGUGCCUGACCUGGAAGCAGUCGUUCGUUAAUGCGGAGGAAUCCUAGAAAUUCCGAGAGUCAUCGAGUGGUUGACCAGUCUCUCGCUAUAUCAUGACAGUCAGUUUUCGGCUUUCUCUACUGAGGUGCUCGCCUGGCCGAACCGGGGCACAAUCGCAGCAGUUCUCCUGGUGCCGCGUUAGCCGAUAUAACGGAACGUAAGGCAGCAAAACAUAGGAGCCGGGCAAACCCAACAUUUGACCAAAGACAUGAUUUGGAGCUGAUGCAUAUAAGGCCAAACUCGCGACGCCGAACACUCCCUAAGGUAUUCGGUCUUUAUGAAAACGGGCCAAAACAGAGCCCUUGGUAAAAAAGCCCCUGGUGUCCAGGUACGCGCAAAAUUCUGGCGUGGCCACAUGCCAAGACGCCAGCCUCCUCCUUGGUUAUAGCGAAAAUUGGACGACGUUGUCAACAAGAGACAGUAAAAAAGGUUUACGCAGGGUCUUAAUCUGAAAAGAAUCCUUGAAACGGGUCCCUGCUGCACGUCUGCGCCUGUGUCUCCGUUGUGCCGUAUCCUGGACGGGCGUAGCACGAUGUUUGUCUGCGAAAGAGAGGAACUUAGUAAAAAAAUAAGUGUGCAAGAAAUCUAUAUUAAAAUAAACAAAAUAUAGUUGGAGCAAGAAUUGAGCCGUAUUGUCUCCUGGCGUGAACACGCGGAGCCCCUUGUACAGGGUUAUGCGGCUAUUAAGCCUAUGUAGGUUUACGCCGGACUCGUCGAGCCGUGUCCGAGAUAGUAGGGCUGGAUUACUGUGCGGCUGUCCAGGCGGCCGCACCAUUACCCGUACUUUGGGGGUCAAUUGAUAUUCCCCUCUAAUGAGAUGAUGCAUCAUGGGUCGGGCAUUUUAAGUGUAAGGGAUGCAUAAUGCGGUAUCGCGUUAAAGCGGGCGAAAGCUUCACGUCCCAGUAGCGCUUGAUAGAGACUUACGAAUGGGGCGAUGUGGAAUGUUAGCUUUUCACUUCGGAAGUUGUCAGGUGAGCCGAACGUGACUUCUAACGAAAGGGAACCCAUACUCUGGGUAUCUGGACCCGGCGUGACUCCUUGAAAGGGAGUGUUGCCAUGGCGGAUUAUAGCUGGGUUUACCCCUAGUUUGCGGAUUGUGUCCUGAUAUAACAGGUUUAAGUCACUGCCGCCGUCCAUAAGGACUUGUGUAAAUUGGAGUCCGUCAAUAAUCGGAUUCAAGACCAAGGCAGUCCAUCCUGCGUUCCGGACCCCUCUGGAGUAAUCCUGAUGAUCAAAGAUGAUUGGUUGUAACAACCAGUGGCGAUGCUCCUCUGGGGCUGGCCGUAUGGCGCGUGUUUUCGUGGGCGCCGUUCUGUUUUUCCCUUUUGUCAUCUGAAGUGAAUUUACUGUUUUGACUUCUUGUGGGAACUUCUUUUGCUCUCCGGUGUUCUGCUUGUGGGGUGCGUCGUCAUCCUCGCUUGGUGUGUCGAGCCCCUUGUGUUCCGCGUUGAGUUUGCCGGACUGCUUGAAGACCCAACAAUCUCUGUGGGUAUGGUUUGCAGGUCUCCCAGGAGUACUGUGGAUUUGACAUAUUUUGUCCAGGAUUUUGUUGAGGUUAGACAGCUCGUCCCUGUCAUCUUUGGGUGGUGGCUUUUUCUGAUUUUGCUGAGAGCUUUUGAAUCUUUCGUUUACUGCCGUGCUCAUCGGGCUGUUAUCCUUGAUUCGGCGUUGUUCUUUGUUACGGCGUUGUUUCCCGUUUCCAUCUCUGAGUUCGGAUGUGCUCGGGUCGCUGGUGCUGCUUCUUGCCAACCAGCUAUCCUCUCCUGUGCAAAAGCGGGUCAUGAGGCUUGUUAAUGCGGCCAUUGUUCUUGGCUUUUCUUGGCCGAGGUGUCUGGUGAGCCAUUUGUCUAGGACGCUAUGUUUGAAAGCUGCUAGGGCCUCGGCGUCCGGACAGUCGACUAUCUGAUUCUUUUUAGUAAGGAAUCUGUUCCAGAGUUUCCGGGCUGACUCUCCAGGCUGCUGAGUUAUAUGACUCAGAUCAUCUGCAUCCGGAGGUCGGACAUAGGUCCCUUGAAAAUUUGCCCGGAAAGCAUCCUCAAGCGCUUCCCAACUUCCUAUGGUGUUUUCGGGAAGGCUUUUAAGCCAAUGCCGGGCUGGCCCUUUGAGCUUAAGGGGUAAGUAUUUUAUGGCGUGGAGGUCAUCUCCUCUGGCCAUGUGUAUGUGGAGGAUAUAAUCCUCGAUCCAGACUCCAGGGUCUGUUGUUCUGUCGUAUGCUUCUAUGUUCACGGGCUUGAAUCCCGUUGGGAAUUCAUGAUCCAGCACCUCAUCGGUAAAACAUAGGGGAUGUGCGGCGCCCCUGUAUGUAGGUGUGCCGCGAUGUUCGGACAUGUUUUGCAUUGCAUUGCUCACUAGAGCUUGCUUUCUUGGCGCAUAGAUGGAUCUGGUUGGGCCAGUUUUUUGAUGCUAAUCCUUGGGCGGAUCGCGCGCCAUAUUGAAUGCGGUGCCCUUUGUCGCUUGAUAUCGAUCGUGGGAUCGUCUAUCCGACCUUGUGGCUUCCUUAUUUUUUGACUGUGGGGGCUCUAUGGCCUCUUCGUCAAAUUCUGGUAGUAGUUUCCACUUCGGAUAGCUCUUUGUGUGACGACUGUUGCCGUACUUGUGUGCGGUAUUGAGUACUUUGCCCCAUCUGAUCCUGAGUGCAUCUUCCGCUGUUUUGAGCCUCCGCUUCUACUUUUUCAGGCUACGUGCAGUGGCAACGAGCCUUUGGUGGAGGUUCUGAUGUUCCAGCAAUUUGUCCGGCUGAGGUCAUCCGGACUGUUAUCUUUCCCGGGGAUGGUUUGUUCGGACUGUCCGCCCUGUUUGGACGGUUUCUCGAUGGCAUGUUCGUCUUCCGUUGAUUCGCCCUGCUCUAUGGUUGGGUCUUUGUCGAGGUGGGGCUUGGCGUGGUGCUUACGCCGUUGCUUUGAUUGUUUUUCGAGUGAGCGAUCCCUGCUUGUGCCCUUUUGAUCCUCGUUGUCAUUUCUUUUAGGUGUGUCCACCAUGUAUACAUCGUAUGAUGAGGUGGCUUUCCAAUGCCCUAUAGGUGCUAGUUCUUGGACGUCUCCUCCAUCGGCGUCCAUACCGUCGAUGUCUUCAGAGUCGAAGUCGAGCGUGUCGGUUAGAUCGUCGACAGUGGCUACAAAGUGGGUGGUGGGUGGGUUUCGAAUUUCUUCGUCGUCUGCAUCCCAACCCAGGCGAGCAUAGUCCGGCCAGGGCUCUCCUGACAAAGAGAGAGACGUCCGCGGCAGUGAACUCCAUGAUCAGAGCCCAAUCGGGUUCGAUCGGAAGGGGUGCGGAAUAUUCGGAGUCCGGAACAGAGUCCGGCACCUUGAAGUCGCGGGCCUUGCAAAGGACUAGGCUGGUAUUCGGCUCUAUUGCCGUAGAGGUUGCGGCUCCGGGGGCGACGUCCAACUAUCCGUCCCCGACUGGCGCAGUUGGCUCCGAACUAAUGGUCGGAGCGGACACCUGCGCGGCACUUUGGGCACUGUCCGGCGGCAGAGCUAGAUCAUGCCCAUCGAUACAGUGCGGCGCGCUCGGCCGUGGCUCGAAUCUGUCGAAGAUCAAGUCCCCGCGGAUAUCGGCCGUGUAGUUUAAGGUUCCAAACCUGACCUGAUGGCCAGGGGCAUAGCUUUCGAUCUGCUCCAGAUGGCCAAGCGAGUUGGCCCGCAGUGCGAAGCCGCCGAAUACGAAGAUCUGUCUGGGGAGAAAAGUCUCACCCUGGACCGCGUCAUGGUUGAUGAUCGAAGAAGCCAUCGGGCCCAAGCGUGACGACACAGAGGAACUCUCAAUGAAAGCACCAAUGUCGGUGUCAAAACCGGCGAAUCUCGGGUAGGGGGUCCCGAACUGUGCGUCUAGGCGGAUGGUAACAGGAGGCAAGGGACACGAUGUUUUUACCCAGGUUCGGGCCCUCUCGGUGGAGGUAAAACCCUACUCCUGCUUGAUUAAUAUUGAUGGUAUGGGUAAUACAAGAGUUGAUCUACCACGAGAUCAAAGAGGCUAAACCCUAGAAGCUAGCCUAUGGUAUGAUUGUUGUUCGUCCUACGGACUAAACCUCUCUGGUUUAUAUAGACACUGGAGAGGGCUAGGGUUACACAGAGUCGGUUACAAUGGGAGGAGAUCUUCAUAUCGUAUCGCCAAGCUUGUCUUCCACGCCAAGAAAAGUCCCAUCCGGACACAGGACGAAGUCUUCAAUCUUGUAUCUUCAUAGUCCGGGAGUCCGGCCAAAGGUCAUAGUCCGGCCAUCCGGACACCCCCUAAUCCAGGACUCCCUCAGUCCUCCAAGAAACAAAACUCGGUAUCCUUAUCCACCGCCGAAGCGUAAUACAUUGUCGCUGGUCCAUGUUGUGCUCAAUUACUCUGGAUGACCCAAACUCUUAAAGAUUAUGAGAUAUAUGUGAAACAUGUUCCAUUGCUUUGUGACAAUGAAAGUGCUAUCAAGAUUGCUCACAAUCCCGUGUAACACUCUCGAAGUAAGCACAUUGAAGUACGUCAUCAUUUCAUUCGAGAUCAUGUUGCUAAGGGUGAUAUUAAACUUAAGCAUGUUCGCACCGAUAACCAAUUAGUGGAUAUAUUCACUAAACCACUUGAUGAGAAAGUGUUUUGCAGGUUGAGAGGUGAAUUGAACAUCAUUGAUGCUGCAAACUUGGAGUAGGAACUCCAUUUGGAUACAUGCAAGACAUGAGCCUUUGACUAAUCCUUGAUGUUUCUCUUAUGAUGAUAAUCAUAUAUCUUGGAUGUAUUUGCACCCUUGCAUGCUAUCUAACCCUUGUAGGUAGUUGGAUGAAUCUAAAUCCAUGAGAUUGCAACUCACUCACAUCUUGAGCAAAUCUCUACAUCACCAAGUCUCUACACAAUGGUGAUUGAAGACAAGGAAGCAUGAAACUCUUCAAACAUAUCCUUUGACAAAUUCUACAUUGAGCUUUAUGAUUGUCAUUUUAGAUACACAAGUGCUCUUCCUUGCAAUACUAACACAUGUAGGAAGAUGAACUCAAAUUCCAAGUGGAGCUCCAAAUUCUUGAUGAGCUACAUCAAACUUGAGCAACCCACACAAGUUCAACUACAUGAUCACGUUCAACACCACCACCCAAGGUAUGUUAUUCCAUCUUGGAGAAGUUUUACUCCAAGUCAUGAGUCAAAGCAACUCAACAAGAUGUGAAUACAUCAAAAUGCUUAAACAAAAAAUGGUAACCCCAUUUUGAGCUUAAACGAUGAGUAUGACCUAUGAUCAAGUGAUCUCACUUGACUCCUAAGUCAAUAUACUCUAACAUAGGUGACUUUGUCGCCGACCAAUUCUAGAGAAGUUCUCUUGUGUUAUUUUCUGUGCUCUUGCAUUUGUCUCAUGCAUAUUUGUUUCCCCUUUCAAAAAAAACUUCAUCUAGAUUUUUUCUGUUCUUUUUUGUUCUGCAUUCCCUACAUUCAAUUUCUUGCAAAUCUUUUAGUUAAUUCCUUGCACAUUCUUGUGAGAUCUUACUUGUCUAGUGAGCUGAGGUGACAAGUGUUUUCUCUGUGAUGAACUCGGUCACACUGGUCUGUUGUUUUUGGUCUAACUGAAAUCUUUCGAUGCAACCGAAGCACACAAGUCGGUGCCACUGAUUUCACCACAGGAAAAACAGCUUGCUACUUGUUCCUGCAUUCUUUUUGGUCCAGCUCCACUCAAUGAUUCUUGUUCUCUACCAACAUCACAUUCGUCUUGCUGCUUUGUUCUGUGACUCAAGGGCCAAACCCAUUUGUGACAAAAAUUCAGAAGAACCCUUCUUGGGAAUUGAUGUCAAAGGGGGAGAGAGAGAGAGAUCACAUCAAAGCUUAAUCAUUCCCUUAGGGGGAGAAAAUACUCAGGGGGAGAGAGUUCUCCAGAUGCUUGGUGUUCAAGAGGAGAGAAGUUACAUGUCUUUAAGAGGGGAAAGACAUGUUCAUAUUUGAUUGUUGCAUUAGCUCUAUUUCUUUUCUUUGCUCUAAUUUUCUGUUCCCUAUAUCUUCUCCCAGUAUCCCAUGCUAGAUUCAGGGGGAUCAAGACUUCUAAGGGAAGGAAAUCCUUGAAUUCAUUGCACAUCUUUACCUUUGGGGACAUGUCUAUAUCCAAUAGGGUACUCAGUACUCACUCUCUACAUGUCAUCCCAGUCUUGGUACUCUUGUGGUUUCUUUUGUUUGCCCUGGCUAGUAGGUUUAUCUGUGUUAUCUAACCUUGUUUACGCAGGUUCAUUCCUUCCUAAGCCAACUCAAGACCACAAGGUAAGUAUAUGCAUCUCAGUCAUGUGUAUGAGGAUUUAUUGCUGAUGUACAUACUGUUUGCAAGAAGGACUCAUGAGCAUGAAGGUACAUUUCCCAUAUUCACAUCAUUUGCUCUGAUGCAUAUAGCCAAGAUACAUGUAACACAUUUCUUUCUCUGUCAUGCUUAUGCAUUCACAUGCUCCUAUAUUCCAUAUUUACAUGAUUGCAUACAUGUAGGGGGAGCCUAUGCAUGUUACAUGUCUUUCCAAAGCUUUACUUGUUAUUCUCUAUAUCUUUAUCUAAAACUUUGAUGUAUGUUGUCAUCAAUUACCAAAAAGUAGGAGAUUGAAAGCACAAGUGCUCCCUGGGUGAUUUUGGUAAUUAAUGUCAACAUGUCUCUUGUUGGACUAAUACUUUUACCUAGUAUGUUUCAGAUAAGUUCAACAAUGGAGUGUCAUGGACUAGAGGAUGUGGAACCCCUUUAAGAUGCUAAGGACAAAGGAUUGGCUCAAGCUCAAAGCACAAGACUCUACAUUUUACUUUUUAGUGAUCCAAGAUCACAUUGAGUCCAUAGGAAAGCCAAUACUAUUAAAAGGGGAUGAGGUGUUGCUUAAUGGCUUGCUUGCUCAAAGUGCUUAGUGAUAUGCUCCAAAGCCCUCAACCACUUUCUCACAUCCACAUAUGUCCCAAACCAAAAGUCAAACUCGGCCCCACUGAUACUUUCUAUCCGGCGCCACCGAGUUCAGUUGACAUAGCCACUGCCAUAAACCCUAGUCUUUUCGGUCUCACCGAUAUGGAUCUCGGCCUCACCGAGAUGGGAUUGCAAUCUCUUUGUUUCCCUUCGUAACAUUUCGGUCAAACCGAGAUAAGCGAUUGGUCCCACCGAGAUUGCAAUGCAAACUCUCUAUUUCCCUUUCGUAACGUUUUGGUCCAACCGAGAUGAGCGAAUUGGUCCCACCGAGUUUGUCUGACCAACUCUUUGUUUGUCUAUUACCAAAAUCGGUCUCACCGAGUUUGUGUAAUCGGUCUCACCGAGAUUACGUUAUGCCCUAACCCUAACGAUAUCGGUCCCACCGAGUUGACGUGUCGGUCCCACCAAAAUUCCUAACGGUCACAUUAUGAACUAAAUCGGUCUGACCGAGUUUCACGAUUCGGUCCCACCGAGUUUAGUAAGUUGUGUGUAACGGUUAGAUUUUGUGUGGAGGCUAUAUAUACCCCUCCACCCACUCUUUAUUCGUGGAGAGAGCCAUCAGAACAUGCCUAUACUUCCAAUAUACAUUUUCUGAGAGAGAACCACCUACACUUGUGUUGAGGUCAAGAUAUUCCAUUCCUACCACAUGAAUCUUGAUCUCUAGCCUUCCCCAAGUUGCUUUCCACUCAAAUCUUCUUUCCACCAAAUCCAAAUCCUGUAAGAGAGAGUUGAGUGUUGGGAAGACUAUCAUUUGAAGCACAAGAGCAAGGAGUUCAUCAACUACACACCAUCUAUUACCUCUUGGAGAAUGGUGUCUCCUAGAUUGGCUAGUGUCACUUGGGAGCCUCCGUCAAGAUUGUGGAGUUGAACCAAGGAGUUUGUAAGGGCAAGGAGAUCGCGUACUUCAUGAAGAUCUACCCGAGUGAGGCAAGUCCUUCGUGGGCGACAGUCAUGGUGGGAUAGACAAGGUUGCUUCUUCGUGGACCCUUCGUGGGUGGAGCCCUCUGUGGACUCGCGCAACCGUUACCCUUCGUAGAUUGAAGUCUCCAUCAACGUGGAUGUACGAUAGCACCACCUAUCGGAACCACGGAUAAAAAAUCUUCGUGUCUCCAAAUUGCGUUUGCACACUCCAAUUUCAUCCUUUUACAUUCUUACAAUUUGCAUGUUUACUCUCCGCUGCUCAUAUACUCUUUACAUGCUUGCUUGAUAUGUAUUGUGAAUGUUAAAACUUAUGCAAAACUUCACUUCAACUUAAAAAAAUAAAAAACUGCAACUUUUCUUACUUAGAGUCUAUUCACCCACCCCCUAGACACCUCUUCUCAAUCCUUUUAAAAGUGCAUGUGCAAAACACAAGUUUAGCUCGUUUGUCUCUUAGAAGUACAAAAGGUUGUUGAGGUGGAUGUUAGGUGAUAAUUUUUAGAUUACACAGGCAUGAUGCAAUGUUCUAAUGAACUUUGGUUUAGUGAUUUUAAAUAACGAGUACCCUGUGUGAUGCAAGAAUAUGUAAAAAUUAUAAUAUUCCAUUGAGAUAUUAAAAUUUCUGAGUUGAAGAGGCUAUUAUUGUCCCACUGUUUUUUAUUGAACAAAAGCAAAAGCGUUGUCUGAUUAUAAAAAAUGGUUACGCGGUUAAUUGUGAAAAUCGGGUGAAUACCGAAUUAAAAUCACAAAAACACACUAACCUCAUAAACACAAACAAACGGGACUCUAUUUCAUCGAGACUAGCUAGCCUCUCAUCACGGCUGGACAGAAGAAGACGAGACUGCGAUGGGAGGAGCAGACUUGAAAUCCUGUUCAGAGGUGACAAAGCAAACACUCCACAAGACCACACCCCAAUUGGUCCGCCCCAACGAGGGCAACUUCCCCGCCCACGUCUAAGAAUGUGUAGUUCGUUUGUUAAAACCAAAGGAAGGAUUACGGUGUGAAAAUAUCAAAUAUACCUUUACUGUACAAAACGAAUAGACUGUACUCACCUAAAACGUUUUAUACUAGUAAAUUGUAGUCCCUCCGUUCGAAAAUACUUGUCAUCAAAAUGGAUAAAAGAGAUGUAUCUAGACGUAUUUUAGUUAUAGAUACAUCUCUUUUUACCCAUUUUGAUGACAAGUAUUUUCGGACGAAGGGAGUACGUGCUUUGCAUGUCACUUAAAUAUUAUAUAUAUAAAGCAUGGAAAAAUACAUUUGAAUAUGUAUUUCCUUUUCUAGAAUCGUAUCGUACAAGGUCUAACUUGAUUCUUACCUCUCUAGAAUCCAGAUUGUUCUAGUCUUUUUUCAUUAGAGUAUCAGAUGAGCAUGUGGAUAGAUACUUCUAAAACACAUGAGAUGGUAGAGUUGGGGGUUCAAUUAGAAGUCCACGUGGCACAAUUCUAUGAGUUGAAAACUUUAUCCAACGGAUGAUAAUGAUUGGAUUUGCCAUCUCUUGACCGUUGGAUGGGCAUAUCUAACGACUAAGAGCAUCUCCAGCCGCGCCCCUAACAGGCCCCCCCAAGGCGGUUUUUUACCGCCGGCGGCCGAAAAUCGGCCCAGUCGCGCCCCCAUGAUCUCGUUUAGAGUCGGUUUGGGCCGAAAUAACAGCCGGCGAACCCGAGCCGAACUCAAGCGCCCGGGGGUCGCCUGGGAACGCCUGCGGAAGCGAAAAAGGGUGUGGGGCCGCUCCGUCGGCGAGAGGAGGCCCUUUUCCCGGUGUUUCCUCCCGCUUUCCCCCCUCGGCUUCCCUAUCAUUCUCCAUUCCUCCCGCCAAUCUCCUCCUCCUCCCCUCCCAGCCGGUCGCCAUGCCGUCGAAUAAGUACGUGGCCCCACGCGCCGUGACAGAUACCACCGCCGCCGUCGCCCAGCCGAAGCAGAGGAAGUAGAGGGCGCCGCCGUCCAAGCCCCCGGGCAUGUCUAACGCCGACUGGAAGGCGAAAGUUCAGCGUCGGGAGGCUGUCACCACCGACCGGCGGAACAGGGCAAACGCCAAGAAGGCCCGGGACAGGGCGGCGCUCGCGGCUGCGGCGGUGGCGGAGCACUCGCCCGAGGCGGCUCGCGCGGGGAUGAUGAAUCCGCCCGGCGGCCACGGCCCGUACGCGUCCUGAAGCCAGCAAAGCGUCGGAUCUCCGGCCGGCUUCUCAUCGUCGCCACAACCCUGGGGCUGCACGUCGUCGCCGGGCUACGCCAACGGCGACGCGCACGGCGGGUUCAACCCCAACAUCAUCUUCCCCCAUGGUCAUCCGGCCCAGCGCACGCCCUCGCCUGCCUUCACCGGCCUACUCAGCCUCCCCGACGCCACCUCUCCGCCGUUGCGCGCUGCUCUUCUCACAAGCCUCCUCGCCGCAUGCUCCGGAGCGACGACAAGCAGCUCAAGGCGUGGUACCUGGUGGAGCGCGGCCUCAUCCUGAACCAGAUGCCGGCGACGGUGCCGCCAACUACCACGCCGACGCCAACGUCGCCGUCAAGCCCGAGCGAUGAUGCCUUCACGACGCCCAGCAAUACAGAAGUCGCUCCGACGCCGCCCAGCACAGAAGCCGCGCCGACGCCGGAGGCCGACACCGGCGUUUGAUGCAUUGCCUAUGCGUCCUUUUUUUUUUGCACGCCGAACUUUUCAUUUUAUCGCUGAACUGUGGCAAGUUGAUCGCCGAACUGUGCCGUUGAUCGCCGGACUCAUGGCGUGUUUUGAAGCGGGAAUGGAUCAAGUUUGAAUUUGCGACGCCUUGGGGGCGGCUCCUGGGGGCUUGGCUGGGACCUAGAUCGCCCCCAGGGUCUAAAAAUCGCUGGGUGAGCGCCCGAAAGAGCGUCGGCCUAUGCGUUGGGGGAACGAGUGGAGAUGCUCUAAUAUUUGAAGCUAUUGGCACACUAUAUAGUGGUAUAGAAAAGUUUAGAGAGGGUAUUUCAUAUUUGCUUUUUUUUCCUCCCUUUUUGAGGGGUCUGUAUUUCACAUCUCGGGAUACAACACACACCGUGAACAAAACGGUGAAAUGUCUAGCUAAAACGACUUGCCACCCCAAGAUGACAGGCCUGGCAUGACGCGAAACAAACGCGCAAAGUAAUUGGAAAAAUGAAAUGCUAGUGCAUGCCCAUGACUACGGGUGUUCUCUUCUGGCCAGGCAUGGCCCGCGCGUCACAACGGAACGGCUAGGUCCAGCACUGCUCCACCCACAGGAGCGGCUCGUGCAGCGCGGCUUCGCCGCCGUCGUAGUCGUCGGCAGCCGUCGCCCAGGUAGGCGAGCACCAGAGGCCGUCCCUCAGGUCCAGCAGAAGGUCGGGCAGGUCGAACAGAGCGUUCUCCUCGACGCUGCCGGCCGUACCGGAGCUUGCGGCCGAUGUCUCGGUCGAUGUCGUCGGCGUCUCUGUUGUCUCGGCGACGGAGGAAGAAGACUCGCAUUGGGCGGCGGCCGAGGCGGCCGCGGCCUGGAUGUCGGCCGGGGAGGUGGACGCCGGACGGGGGAGCGCGUCGGCGAGGUGCGGGAAGUUGAGGUGCGCGCGGCGGCCCUUGAUGGCGACCGCGGCCACGUCGUGCGCGCGCGCGGCCAUCUCCGCGGUCGGGAAGGUGCCGAGCCAGAUGCGCGACUUCUUGCGCGGCUCUCGGAUCUCCGACACCCACUUGCCCCAGCUCCGGCGACGCACGCCGCGGUACGACGGGUGCCUUCCGGCCGUGCGCUCGUCCGCGGCGGCGGUGCAGCUGCUGCUCUCCUCGGCCCGGGCCUCCGCCUCUUGGCUGCCGGUGCCAGGAGCAGCAGGAGAAGUGGCGGUUUGUCUCUUGCGCUUCAGAUGCUUGGGCUCACUCUUGGACACGUCGUGUACGCCAUUGAUGGCAGUCGAAUCGGAGGAGUAGGAGGAGGAAGAGGAGGUGGCGGGUGCAUGGAUCGUGUCAGACUCCAUGGCUCUAGUCCUCUCUACAAGGGAGCACCAGACAAGGCUCCAGGCUGGGGAGGGAAGGUGGUGCGCGCGACUAUAAAUAGUGGAUCUGUUAGUGGAAGCCUACGUUUUAUUUUCUCUAAACAAAAGAUAUCGCCACCAUGCGGAGCUAAAAAAGAAAUAAAGCUGAUGUUGUUGUUAGGAUCUCCCGAAUUAACAAAUCUGCGCGAAAUUCUGCGGCCAGUUAGAUAUUUGCAAGCUGGUGAGACCACCAACACAUGGAUGGCUUGCAUUGGUAACGCUAUAGUAGACAUAACCAACCAGCGACCGUCCAAAUGCUACCAAUUACUUCUACUCGUAUUACCUAACUCAGAACUCCAGUUGUAUAAGAAGCAUAUGCAGUCCGGCCAAAUGAUAAUUUUCUUCUUGCUGUUGUUUUAUUUUACGACAUAACAUACACACGGCCACGCGAGUUUGGAGGAGGCAGCUGUCCUCCUCAGAGACGAGGACUACACCUCAACAACUAGCCGUUAAGUAGAUUGUCACUGGGAGCAAGACUCCUUCAAUCAAUCGGGCUGCUUGGUUCAACACCUUCCUGUAGGAAGGUGGUGGUUACUGUUUCGUGUGCCCACUUGCGUGGGACUGAGCUGCUUGCUGGUACUCCCUCCGUUCUGAAUUACUUGUCUUAGAUUUGUCUAGAUACGGAGGUAUCUAGCACUAAAAUGAGUCUAGAUACAUCCGUAUCUAGACAAAUCCAAGACAACUAAUUCGGAACGGAGGGAGUACGAUUUCGGGAACAACGAUAUGCGAACGGCAAUGCCGCACCGGCCUUGGUAAGCAAGACCCGGAAGCAAGAGCCCGGAACGGUGGCGCGUCGUGCGCCUGGCAAUUUCCACAAAGUCCUCGCUUUACUAUUGGUGCCGAGAUGCCAUCGAGCCAUUAACAAGAAUAAAAUUCCAUUAACACGUUCCAGUCAAAAAACGACCCUGACUGACAGAUCUGAUACAAAUAGGAAUGCCUCAAGUUGCUGAGCAGCACAAAGAUUAAAUAAAUGAAUAAUAAUGCUACGAUGGUUUCGUCAUGGAAAAUGCACCAGCACACACACGACCAACUCACCCAACCAAGUCUGAAAUAUCAAAGUCUGGGCUCCAAAAUAAUACUGCUAGUACACGACACAGUAGGCAAUAGGCCAACAAAAGGAUGAAUGAUACUUAUGGCUAACAACCUCAUAAUCUUAAGAGCCAAGAAUAAUAAUACCGCGCAUCAGAUCAGCAGCUACUUUAAUUAAACGACAAAGGAACAAUAGAAUGCAGUCGAUUACUGCCGUUGCCGGCGCCUCCUUACUGCUGGGCGCACUGCACACCCC
This 66961-nucleotide long non-coding RNA is filed under the name Triticum aestivum (bread wheat). RNAcentral describes it as "long non-coding RNA (TAES_LNC012196)". The stretch from base 62761 to 62894 matches the Rfam family "MIR1120/MIR1122 microRNA precursor family". The record is from RNAcentral. Lineage: Eukaryota; Viridiplantae; Streptophyta; Magnoliopsida; Poales; Poaceae.